Molecule: long non-coding RNA, 57290 nt
Filed under: Malus domestica (apple)
Lineage: Eukaryota; Viridiplantae; Streptophyta; Magnoliopsida; Rosales; Rosaceae
Description: long non-coding RNA (MDOM_LNC017193)
Source: RNAcentral
CGAGGCCGGGCGCUUCCCUCUUAAGGAAGAGGCGGCGUGGUAUUCCACGGGAGAGGUUUAUUCGUGGCGCACGUUAGUGCGUUGGGCGCACAUUAACAACCCAGCCUUCUUUCUUCCGGGGGAGGUUGCGGUUGGGGGCUCCAUGGCCGCUCUGCUGCUCCAGUUUUUGCAGCAAAAGCGAUCUGUUUGCCCUACAUCUUCCUUUUUCUCUAAACCCCCAAUUUUCUUGCUUCUAAAAUCUAUAAACCUAAUUUAUUGCUUUUAAAAUCUCUAAAAAAAACCAUUUGUUUCUCUCAAUUUGUUUUUUUUUCUUGGCUUUUGGUAAAUCCAAUCGGAGUUCAUUGUCCCUGGUCUCUGAUUUUUUUUGUUCUAGUUUCAUUUCCCCUUUUUUUCAGUUUCCACAAGGAAAUUACAAAUUUGUCCACCCUUGAUUUGCAUUUUUCAAAAGGCAAUCAAGCUUUGAUUUUGAAUUUUUGAUAAUAUGAAAAGCACGAUAGCAUAGUACUCAAAGAAGCGAUAUACAAGCAACCAACAAUUCCAUUGGAAAAACGAGAUACAGACGUGAGUUAGGUCAAUUAGUUACGAUAUUAUCACUAUUUCUUUGCGUUCACUUUGGUUAAGAUAUUGUGAAUCAAGAGUAAUUUAGAGAUAUCACAUCGUUAAUCAAACAAAUAAAACAGAAUAGUUGUUUGUAGACUUUAACAUAAUAUUAUAUUUGCAUUUAAAUAAAUGAAAUUUCAUGAUGCCCAUCAAAUAAUUCAAGAAAAAAAAAAUCUGCAGCACUUGAAAAAUGGAAGUGGCAAACUGUUCAAGGCUCAGAGUUCUCGCUUUUGUGAAAAAAUUGAUUGGGGUUGCCAAGAUGUUCACUAAAAAUGCCCGAUGGUGGUGUUGCACAAAUUUGUAUAAAGAAGUUCGAUUUUCUUUGAUUUAGGGCGCAGAGUGUACGCGACUCAUGAAAUAAUGUGGCAAGAGAAAAAUGUCUUCUGAGCUCCAAUGCUUGAUGGCUUGAUUCAACAAGCAUUGCCUGCUCUUGCAUCGUUUCUCUUGAGGAAAUUAAGUUCGAUUCAUCACACGUAAUCGCCUUUGCCAUUGUCGGGUAUAAUACAAAUAUUUGUACCAAGUUUACGGAUCACUGUCUCAUAUGGUCACCUGUAAAGGUUGGGGUUCUACCUCUGUAACAUAAGCGAUGAGCGAUGUAACGAGUAGUUAAUAUGGUAUAUGUAUAAUAACACGAUAAUUUAUGCUCCAUUUGGAUUAAGAUUCGCGCGCAUACCUCUUUCGAACCUUGAUCUUCGAGAUACAUGGCGUAUAUGGCUUUCGUUCCUUUGCAAGUGUUCGUCGAUUCCACACUGUUGGGAAAGUAGGGGUCCGGAAAACUCAAUGGCACGGUUCUCUUCCACAACGGAAUCCUAUAACAUUGUUGAAGGAUAAGUCGUAGUGAUUAAGUGUAAAGCAUUUGGAUCAACUGUGUCAAAGACGAUGGUUGCGUUCUUUGUCCUUACCAUGUCGUUUCCUGUAUCGUCUGGCUCUCCUGUACUAGCAAGUUCAGACGUGUCGAAAGUUCUAAGCUUUCGUAUCGCAGUCUUGCCAGUUCUGUAUCCUUGUUUUAGGUCAAAUGUACUCUUUGCGAAGUUUGCAUCGAGGGCACUGAACUGGCUUUUCGAGCCAUCUGAAACUGCAGAUUUAGUACCAUCCUCUGUUCCCCUUUUUGCCCAUGCAAAGCCGCUUGCUGCUGAGGUUUGUACGGAAGACAAUGUACUGUAUCCUUGUGAUGCAUUCAACUCGCAAUUCUCCGAAACUGUAUCAAAUUGCGGUUUUAGAUUAGACUCUCGGCGCAGAAGCCCUCCUUUCGCCUUUGGGAUAAACGGGUUACCACCAUUGAUUCGACGAGCAGAUUGAGUAUGAUCGUCUUGCCCAUCCUGCACAGUCGAAGGAUAAAUCACUCAGUUAGAACUAGCUUGCUUCUUGCUUCUAGCUUCCAUUACACAAAAACACACGCACGCACAGGCAAGCAAUAAGAGAUAGAGAAAGACCUCUUUUGGUGCCACUUUAGCGGAACCAUUUGACUCGUGCAAGGCCUUACGGACUCUCCUUGGUUUCCUUGUUGUCUCUCGUGCUCGAAUACCAGGUCUUUUCCUGAAAAAUGUAAUACAGCCGUCUAAUUAUGCCUACGUAAACAUUAAAGCGUGGUCUUAAUCUACAAGGAUUACAUUUGUAAUCAGUUCUACGUAAACAUCGCAAUUAGAAAUGGGAAAACACCUGCAGAGUCCCACAGACAUCUGAACUACAACCUUAGUUUAAACGAAGAAUUUUACCUUUGUGAUUCCUCCCGAUUUUUAGCAUCCAUUUCUUUGGUAGGAGGAUACUUUGGCAAAUGUGACGGAUCGCAGGCAUAAGGCUUUGUUUUGAAGUACUGGAAGAACAGAGGCCACGAUAAACAAGUAAAUCAGCAAAGGCAGAAGUUUUAUACUUUAAGAACGUCUCUUCAAACACUGCUGAAAGUAUUUUGCCAUCACAAGUUUCGAGAGUAUUUUCAUGGAAUUUUACCUCGGACAUUAGGGCAGAGGAGGCAGUCCCGCGCUUGUAAGGUUCUACGGAAAGGAGAUUCUCUAACAUGUCUAGUGCAGUAGUUGGAAACUCUUUACACCUCUCCUUAAGAGAACUUUCGUAGUUGUACUGUGGUUUAAACAUAGUUGCGUGAGGAAGUUUUGACGUUUUCCAGUAUUCUUCAGGCGGUGAACCACAAAGCUUGAAAAUUUUGUGCAAUUGUUCGACCUGUAAAACGAGAGGGGAGCUAUUAACUUCAUUACGAAUUCUAAAUCCCAUAUUGUUAAUGAGGAUUGUAUUAAAAAUCCAUAAUUAGAGAAACUUUUAGCGUUGGACAUUAACGUUGUAAUCACCUCAGUUCUUCCUUUAAGGAGAGUCUUUCCUAGAAACAGCUCUGCAAAUACGCAGCCCACGCUCCAGAGAUCCACCGAAACUCCAUACUCAGUUGCCCCCAUCAAAAGUUCAGGAGGACGGUACCACAAGGUCACCACCCGACUGGUCAGCGGUCGCUUGCUCUUUGAGUUAAUGACAUUCGCCAAUCCAAAAUCUCCCAACUUCAGAAUCCCUUCGUUGUUUACCAAAAUAUUGGAGGCUUUGAUGUCUCUAUGCAUAAUACCUCUUAAGUGACAGUGCUCGACUGCGGAAAAUAGCUGCCUCAUAUAACAUUUAAUCUACACAGAAGAAAGACCAACCAAACUUACUGACUUGUAUGGCAAUGUUCAUACGGUUCAGCAAAACUUGUUAGGCAAGAAACUAACCUGCAUAUCAGUGAAUUUGAUCUCGGAACUAGCUACAAGUCCUGCAAGAUCGUGCUCCAUGUACUCGAAUACAAGGUAUAUGCUAUUUGAUGAUCGAGAUGUUAUUAUUCCGUCCAGUUUCAUGAUGUUCGGAUGAUCAAGCCUGCGAAGAAUCAUGAUCUCUCUAGCCAUAAACCUAAUACUCUCCGGUUGAAAAUUGUCAAAACGUACUUUCUUGAGUGCAACAAUCCUCCCAGUUUCCACUUCCUUUGCUCGGAACACACUGCUGUACGUACCUUGUCCAAUCUGCACGCAUUCGAAAUGAACUAAUGUAAAAAAUCAAUGAACCGUAAGCAAAUUCAAAAUCUAGAACAAUGUAGGGCAAACCAUUAGAAACUAACAUUGAAUUACAUCAAGAACCAAAACCGUUACAAGAUUCUUGAAGGCUUGCACAUUUAAACAAACUAAAGAUGUGCACUUUCAACUAGAACAAACACAUUUUUCGAUAGGAGGAUACAUUUUCCACUCGUACUUCGCACUCUCGAGAAACUUGAAGUUGGGGCACAACAGAGAAGAAAGUAAGCAAAUAUGUUUUACUUAAAAGAAUCAAAACCAAAAGUGUGGACGUGGGCGUAGUCAUAAUGACAAUAGUGCAUACGUGAUCCUCUUAUUCACUCCGAAUUCAAUUUAUCACCUCACGAUUUAGAUUAGUUUAAAAUAGUAUAUCGCUCGUAUCAGACAAAAUCAAAACCAACAUGGAUGAAGGAAAACAUCUGCGUGAUGGAAUCUAAAAUGUGAAUAUUAUACGUAAUAAACAUCGCAGUAGCAUUUAUUAGUGAUUAAUUAAUAAUGUCAUUAAAACUACUGCAAAAUGGGAAGGUGAUCAAUCAAAAUGUACCUUUUCCAACUUCUCAUAAGCAUCAGCUUUGAGGGGGAUCCACCCGUAUAUGGCCUCGCCGGCUGCGGCGCUGAGCCAAGAGGGCCAGCCGGCGGAGACUUGCUCAGCCUCCAAAGAAGAACGACUUGAAAAACCCAAUCUGAAGCUAAAGGCACUACCUUUCCCGCCAUUGUGACUAUUAUGGCUGUGAUAAGACCCCUCCUUCUCCUUCCUGCUCUUCUUCGACUGUCUGCCGCCAACGACACUCCGAUCCUCCGACACGUCGCCCGGACGAUGAUUCUGAUUCUGUGGUUCCCUCUUGCUACCACUCUUCUUAAAUUCCGAAGAGUUCGAUUUGGACUUUGGUUUGGAUUUGGAUCGGCUAACGUUGUUGCUGUUGCUGGCAGCGGAGGCGGAGUUGUUCUUUUUUAAGGAGGACGAAGAGGGCUCGAGGAGGACGGAGCCAUUGCCGGCGACGGCGGCCGAGUACUCGUAACAAGGAGACGCCGAGGCAGCCGCCCGCUUGGAGCUGAUGCAACCCAUUUAUCGCCACCACCAAAUCCCGCCAGCAUCGAUCGAUCGGAGAAUGUGGGGGGAGAUCGCCGAGGGAUCGAACGGCGGAGAUCGGGAGAUGGGUCGAUAAGGGGGAAGGGAAGGGCACCCCUACAGCAUUAAGGAAGUCAUUUUCUCGAUGCCAAAAAAAUUGAGAAAACAGAGGCGGCCAUAUUUGGGUGGCUGUCCCAAUGAGCCGGUCGUCCUCCCUCCUCGGUUUUUGCGAGAUGUGCGGGGGGAUUAUGAGGAUGUCGUGACUAACGGUCCGGAAACAGAGGAAGCAACAACAACAUCGUUUUUACAAUGUUUUUUUAUCGACAGUGAUUUGCGUACGUGGGUCCCUGUUUUUCUUGAUAAUUUUUCUCUGGUUUUUGUGUUUUGCUUUUAUUUUUGGGGUUUGUGGUUUGGGAAAAGAGGAAAAGGUGGGAAAUUUAAGAAUGUAACCGUUGUUUGUUUGUUGCUUUCAUGCUUUCACGGUGUUUAGUGUCUGGUUGGAAAAUGGACUGUCGGUCGCACAGUGACAGGGAAGAGAGAAGGAAAGUUUAGAGAGCAAAACUAGUAGGAAGUACUUUCGCACACAAGUGCUUACUUAAAAGUGUUUUUUAAAAAAGCACUUGAAAGUAUUUUCGAGGUGCCUCUCCAGAGAAUAUUUCCAUAGUACGUAAAUGCUUUUGAAUUUUUCUAACAAACAUAGUCAGAAACGUUUUGAAUUGUCAGAAAACACAUUUAGUUGUUCCAAUAGCACGUCGCCUAAGAAACUUUAGAGAGAGAAAGUGAGUUGUGGGAUGAGUGAUGUUGUAUGAAAUGGGGAGGUGAGGGUGGUGAUGGAGAUUGCAGGCAAACUGCCCAACAGCCCCAAUGCUACGUAUGAUUAUACCCAGAAGCAGGGUGUAUAUAAUUAGUCGUGCUGGAUUUUAUGAGUUGGGAAACUAAGCAAAUUUGAUCAAAUAACUAAUUGAUUCAAAUUAUUGUGAGUUUCAGUUUUUUAUUAUUUUGGACGGGCUACCAAACAAUUGAAACCAACCCACAAGUUAUCGGAAAAUUGGGGGUAAGUACUAAGUAUCAAUAUUCAUGUGGAUAGUAUUGGUAGCUCGUUAGAUAAGUUUAUAUGUAAAAGAAUCUCUUUCAAAAUAUUAGUCUUGGACAAUUUGGAAUGGAGACUUAUUUUGUGUAUCACUUCCUAGUUCUUGUGGCACUAGCGAAACAAAAGUAUUUUUUAACAAGAUUUUGUUCUCCCUAAAAAAUUGGUUUAGGCGAAUAUGGUUUCUCUAUAAAUCCCCUUCUAACACAUGUUUUUCUUCAUUGAGAACCUCCUCCUAAGGGAUGGGUAAAGCUUAAUGUUGAUGGAUGUCGCAAGGGGGUGGUCAAUUUCAUUAGUGUUGGCGGUGUCCUCAGAAUCUCGUCGGGGGCAUGGGCCUCCGGUUUUUUGUGCUAAUCUUAGUCGAGGUAGAUUUUAUGCGGUGAAGUUUGGAGUGUUUUUAUUAGGUUUCAACUUGCGUGGAAUAAAUGAUUUAAGAAGAUUAUAGUGGAAUCGAAUCCUGCACUUGAAGUACAAUUGAUUCUAAAUGCAAAAGUGGAUAACCACCCUGAAAAGUUUAGCAUUGACUUGUCAUGCUUUUAUACGCCAAAGUUGAUUUUGUGAAAUUCAUCAUAUUUACUAUAAAAAUAAUUUCGUUGCUGAUGAUUUGACUGUUUGGGUUCAAGCUUUUUUUUAACUAGCUCCUUGUUGUCAGCUGCUAGUUGAAGAUAUAGAUGUUUUCUUGUAGCCUCAUGAUAUUAUUAUGUAAUCUUCUUUUUUCAUUCGGGCUUACGUCCUAUUGUCAAAAAAAAAAAGUAAUAGAAACAUGUUGGAUGUAUUUUCGCAGUCAAAAUACAAACAAUCUCCCAAACGGCAGAUCAGUUGUCCUGCUUCAACUAGUUUUGGUUGCUUUUGUGCCACUCACAAAACAACCCGCAAAAGCACGCACCAAAAAGUGUGAACAUCUCAAAAGCCAGGUAGCUUCGCUUUGUGCCAGUCAAAAACAGCCUAAGAACUUACCUUUACCUGUCUCAUGAAACGGAUGUCUCACAUUUGCUAUCUCAUGAAUGGCACACGAGCUUACAUAUGAGAAAUACAACGAAAAAGAAAAAAAAACGUAGACGGAAAUAAUUGAAAAAAGCGGAGUAGAUUUAAAGCACAUUUAUACAUCAGUUGUAUACUUGUAUAUUCGCAUUUCAGCGUGACGUAAUUCUACACAUAUACGACCCUAUUUCUGUAUUCAAAUUUACAAAUAAUGUCGGGCCUAUGAAGCCAAACCUAUAAACCAUCUACAUGUGCAGCAAUGCAUAUCAACAAAGAUCACACACCAGUGACAUUCACCACGCUAAAAACCUUUCCUUUCUUUAUUCUCCGUAUUCGUUCAUUUUGCAUCGUGUUAGUUGUUGGACUUGACUACUGACCUUUACUUACAUAACGGAUUUCACUGAAGCACUUUAAACAACUAUUUGUUCUUCUUUUAGCUGAAGAAGUACCGGUCUCUGAUCAUUGUUUCCAUAUUCUCUGCCCUUCUGUAGGGUAUGCUGAGGAGCCCUGGACGCGGGUGGUUUUAACAGUGAUGCACUAUUAUUGGCCGUGCUGUGGCUGCUGUUUCUUGCUGCUGGAACAUCAUGGUUGUGUUUGCCUUCAUAUGUAGUGAUGACAGCUUCAGCGUCAGUGGAAGCUCUCUCAACAUGCUUACGGACAUUGCACCCCGCAAACGUGCAUUUGUAAUAGCUCCUGUUAACAAGUUUGUAUCAGAUAACAAGCUCACAAAAAGGAAAUCAUUUCUCCAGUGGAAACAAAAACAUUAGAAUUAAAUUGUUCACAUAUUGCUUAAAUGUAUGCUAAGGAUGUGACGCUCUAAGAUCAGAAAGUAGUUGUUUCUCAAUAAAUCGGAGCAUAAGUAAUCCUGAAUUCAUCCCAAUCCCUAAAGAUUUUCCCCAAUCCAACUCUAUAUAUCAUCUAAUAGUUCUUGAUUUCACCUCCAUCAAUCAAAUAAUGUGCAAAGAAUUCUCGGAAUAAUUUAUUACCCAUUUUAACUCGGCCGAGAAAGAUGCAAGCCUAUUACUUCAUUAAUAGUGAGUAUUAACAUGUAAGAAACAAUGUAGAGAGAACAACCUGCUUGCCCUUGCAUAUAAUGCGAUUCGUAAAACUGAAAGUAAGAAAUAUUUAUAUGGAGGAAGUUACCACCUUGGAUGAGGGUUCCCUUUGACCACCUUUUGCCCGUACUUGCGCCACCUAUAGCCAUCAUCGAGAAGAUCAACUUCACUCCUUGUCUGCACAAUGAUUUUUGGUUCUGUGACCAUCUUGUGUGCCAAAGCUACCUCAGAUGCGCCAACGUCUAUGUUCCUGCGCUCAUUUACAAGGAUACUUUAAUAUUAAGAAGAAAGUAAGGUAAACAAUAUACUAUGAUUUUAUGCAAAAUGUCUUGAAAAAUACCUUCUCUUUGCAUUUGGUUCAUCAGCAUCUCCCUCUUCUCUAGUUUCCCCAUCGCCCAACUCUUCAUUGUCAAUUCCCCCUGGUAACUGUCCAGAAGCGGCUUCAGUAGAUUCCUGAUCCCUUUCAGGUUGUGAGUGAGAAGCUAUAUUUUCACUCAACCUAUUUGAAUCUCCUACCCUUCUUUGUAAUCCGUUUUCAGGCUUAGGCCCAUUCAGAUCACCAUCUUUUGGGCGUUUACUCGGUUGAGGGACUUCAUGGUUAUGCUGACCUUUGUAGAUAAUCUCAGUUAUUUCGCCACUAGGAAUACGCUCGACUUUCUUUUUGACAGGGCAAUUCAUAUGUGUGCACUUGUAGUAGCUUCGAGGAAAUUCACUGCCCUUAACCAGCUUCUGCCCAUAUUUCCGCCAGUUGUAGCUAUCGUCCGCAGGCCUACCAGUGGAUGAAGGUUGGUAUUUCCCAUCAGAAUGAGAUGCCUCUGAGGAUUGCCUCACAGAACUUUUAGUAUCAGAUGUUGAGGGCAAUGUAAGCUGCCGAGAAGCUUCCUCGGGCAUUAAAGAUGGUUGACAUGCCUGUGGCUCUGUCGGGGCUGCUACUGAAGAAGGUUGGUAAUCAGGUUGCAUGUACACACGAGAUUGGGCUAAUGCAGCUUGAGCAGUAACCUGUGCCAAGGCCUGCUGGUGUGACAUUCCAAACGGACUCUGCAACGAUAUGAAGAAAACAUACAUGAAAACCGGAUGCUAAUUCAAGUCACCGACCUUCGGAAAUCAUAUUGUAUCAUGUAGAAAGACAAUACAGAAUAACACCAACACAAGUCUAGUUCCAUAUGGUCUGUCACAAGAACGCAUCAAUAUAUUGAUAUGUUUAACCAGAUUUGAGAAGCUUUUAACAAAAGUACAAUCACAAGAAGCAUUAAUCAGGAAUUAUAACCACAUUACAAGAAUGAACAUGAUUAGCAAUCGAAAAAUCAAAACUAUAUGGGCUCGUUUGGAAGUGCUUUUAAAAAGGCUGAAACUACUUUUGGUGAAAAUCUUUUUGGGAUCAAUCCUUACUAAAAAUGCAAAUGAAACCUAGAAAAACACAUGAAACCUAGAAAAGCACUUGAAGUGCUUCCUACAAGGAGCACGUAACUGGUGCUUCAAGUAGGAAGCACUUUAUGUGCUUUUAGAACCCAAAAACAUCUUCCCCAAAAGUGCUUUCAUCAUUUUGAAAGCGCUUCUAAACAAGCCAUAUAUUUUCAGCACUCACAAGCACAGGAAGCACUAAUAUAGUUGCGCCUAAAAAAGCAACAUCUUUACACAACUUUGGUGAAUAGCAUAGGCAACAAAAUUUAUGUUUUUUGAAGAAAUCGAACUUCCGUUACAUACAAUUUUGUGAAGAAAUUCAUCAUUUCUUAAUACUUAACACAAAAGAAAGCAGCUUUCAGCUUUUACCAACUCAACAGUGACAGUAAAUUUCGUAGAGAUUAAACAAAAUUUACCUGAGGUGAAUAGAAGCCAGGCGAGUUAAGCAACCCAGAGGGGCUGAGUCCCGGCGGGACAGUAAACAAUGGCGGCCGAGCCACCGCCAAACUCAUCGGCCUACUCUGCUUAAACCCAGAACUGCCCUCCCCGCCAUAUUCGGAACCUCCGCCUGAUUUUCCCAAACCAUCAGCUGGGCUAUCGCUAAAAAAGUUCAUCCCCCUUGUGGACCCCACCGGCGAGCCCAUGGCUCCGGCGAGGAGCUGAGAGAAGGACCUGAAAUCCGACUCAGGGUAGUUCUCGAAGAAGCUCGAGACAAGAGUCAUGGGACCCGGGCUCGCCCCAGAUCCGCCGCUGAAAAGGGCCUCCGCGGACGGCCGCGGCGGGAGUGUUAUCACUGGUCUUUGUGGCUGCUUCUGUGGCGGCGGAGCUGAAACUGCGACCCUGUUCGAGUCUUGGGUUUUGGCGGUCAUUGAUAGUAAUAUCGAGCAAUCAAGCAAGCAGCUUUUUCCUCUGUUUCUCUCUCUCUCUCUAGAAUCCUCUGUUUUUCUCUCUCUCUCUCUAAAACUCUCUGUUUUUCUGUGUUGUUUCGUACUGCAGGUGGUGUUGUUUGCUUGGUUUUGUGCUCUGCUCUCAGAAACCGAUUGGGUUUUUUUCUUGGUGGUUUCGUGCGGUGCUAUCCUCAACUUGAAGCGGAAAGUCCACGGAGCAGAAAAUAAAAUUUACAUAUUUUAUUUUCGAGAUAUUAUUUGGUUUAGUUAUGUCCAAAUUGCAAAUUUGCUCCAAAGUGAAAUUUGAGACAGAUGGAUGUUUGGGAUCUUUUCGUUGCCCUUUAACACGAGAUCAAAUCUUCUUCUGCACACAAAAUAGACUAGUCCUUAUGUGGUUUCAAUCACGGACGGACACAUGUUUAUAAAGUUCCCUUUUUUUUUAUAAUUUUGUUGUCAUAAAAUUAAUUAUGUUAGUCAGUAAUCACGGCAAAUCACACUUAUUUUGGAUGCACGAAAUUUGAUCUCCUUGGCCGGCAUCUAGGAUCUAGACCACCCCCCAACGCAACAAAAAAUUAGUCUCCAUAGACACAAGAGUCUAUGUAAUGGUAAACUACCACUUUGAUUAAACACUUCUAAAUCCACGUUUAAUCGUAAAAUAUUUGUAACUCAAGUGAUUAAACAGUUUAAUCGUAAAAUAUUUGUAAUUCAAGUGAUUAAGUGUAUUUAUUUUUGUAUUUGAGUUAUGGGUUUAGAUCUUCGAUCCCCAAUAUUGCUUCUAUCUAAAGAGAAAAUGGCAUUUUGUCGUUGCUAACUAUAAUGAAGAGAAAAUUUACAUGUAUUAUAAAAAUAAAAAUAAAACACAACAAAUGACCGCGAAGUAGCUAGGUUUUGAUCAUAUGACAAACUUGUAUAGACAAUACAGUAGGAUUAUCACGCCUCUUAUUUUCCUUCGCUUCCUGCUCCUCCCUCUCCUCUCACUUUGCUUUUUGUUUUUUUUUUCUCUAUUAAAAAUUCAAUAUAACAUGAUGACGUGAUUUAAUCGUAAUCAUUUAAGUAGGAGAAGAAAAAAAAUGAGAGAGAGAUGAGGAUGGGAGAGAAGAAUCCUCUUCCUUUUUUUUUUGAACAAAUGAUAUUAUUUACACUAAGGGAAGGGGGUGGGCUUAGCCUUACAAUAAACUAGCAAUAAUGUGAUUCAAAUUCGCUUUUUGAUGAGAAUCGAACUUAAAACUUCUCACUUACAAGUGAAGAAGAAUAGUACUAGACCGCAAUAUUAGUGGCUCCUCUUUCUUAAAAUACAUGGCAUGUAACACUCAGCUUUAUGACAUGCAAUGACAGGGGAACCGCAAUAGACAAAGCCCACUCUGAUUUGGUUAUCAUCAUCAAUUGUGUAGCAGACGACGUUUUAACGCAACGGCGAAAAAUAAUUGUAUUAAUGCAUUUCAUGCGAAUUUGAUUUUAGAAGUCCUCCUCCAUUCUACAAACUAACAAUUCGAUCGUUAAAAAAAAGGAGAUAUUUCUCCAAAUUUAAUUUUUUUAGAUGUGUCUUUUUCAGUUUAAUUAUUCUUCUAAACAAAAAAUUCUCCAAAACCAUAUUUUAAUUUUGUAUUUAUCAUUUAUCACCACCCUUUUCUUUUGUUUUCUUGAGUUAUUUUCCAUGCGCAGCCACCACAAUCAUUUUAUUUUGGCAGCCAAUGCAAGCAACCGGCAAUGUGUUCUGACUUUUCGACAUUUUCAAUUAAAAAUUUUAAAAAAAUUAAAAAAGAAAAUAAUAAAAGUAAUACACGCUACGCUUCCAUUUUUUUAUUAUUUAUAUUUUUACACGUAUAAUUUAAUAAUUAUCAAAACAUUUUUUGGUUUUCUCAACCGACAAGUAAAUGAAGUGCUGCCGCAAAGAACAUUCUAGUAGUCAUAUACAUUGAAGAAAAUUCGAAAAUUGACAUUAAUAUUUUAAUAAUUUGAUAAAAAAAAAUAUUUUGUUAAUACAUACAACUACGUGUGGAGUGUGGAUGCUUAAAUUAACUUGUUGACGUACGCAAGCUAUGAACAUGAAUUAAAAUUUGAAAAAAAUGUCAAUUUAAGAACAGCUGGAGUUGCAAGUGGCCAUUUAUAACAGUAGUGGAAAUGAGUAAGAUGUGAAAAAGAGAAGUGUAAGAGGUGAAAAUGAGAGUACAAAAAUCCCAUUUAAAAAAUUUAAACUACAUGACAAUGUAUAAUCAAGUUUGCAAUUCUAAUUAUGAAAAGAAGAACUUGAACUUAGGUGCAGAGGAACCCACGACUCACAUUAGCAUGACAAUGCAUAAUUGAGUUUGCAGUUCUACAUAUGUCACAUAUGACAAAUAUUUAGCUACUUAAGGAUGAGUAAAAACUUAUACUCAAAACUCUUUGAGUUCGAAUCACAUAGUUUUGUGCUUAUAAUCAGGGGCAGAGGCACUCUAAGGCCACCAUAGGCCAAGGCCUACCCUCACUAAGUAUGCCCCAACUAACCUUUCUAAAUAAUUAUGUAUUAUAUUUGGAUAAACUUAAUAUUAUACUUCUUUUGGUUUACACAAAACUCUUAAUUGCUAUUCACUAAUAGUUAAAAUAAGAAGUCUCUUUUUCUUUUGAAUCCCAACAACACUCGUCCUAAAAAUAAAUUUACAACCUUAUUUUAUAAACAAAUCAAUAGCUCUUAAAAUUAAAAUCUAAAGUCUAGUUUAGUUUUAUCAAAAAAAUAUUCUUUUACAUUACCAACUAAAGAAUAAUAAACUUUGAGUUUCUCCUUCUCCACUUCUUGAAAUUUUAUAUAUUUUAUCUUUGCUCUCUUUAACUUUUUACUAAAUUUUUAAAAUUUCAUAUAUUUUGUUCACCAAAUUCCCAAUCCAUAAUUCUCAUUUUUUGUUCGGAAAUUCCCAAUCUAUUCUAUAUUGACUUGGAGUGAUGCUAUAGAUAGCUUCUACUUGAGCCAUAUUUUGUGACCACAUAAUUGUAUAGUACUUAAUGGUUGGAUUACUUAUUUAAAUAACCAAAGAAGGAAUUCAAUCAUCAACGGGGUCACAUUAUGUGGUUUCUAAAAUAUGGUCUAAAAAUAUAGUAUCCCUAGCAUUUUUCAUUGACUUGAGAAUGGAAGGUUAACUUCGACAUAGAAAAAACAUUUAGAGUCUCAAAAAUAAUUAGCUCACAACUCCAAGCAUGCAUUAUUUAAUUUUUUUCACAUUUAUGUGAGGCCCCUCCUCACCUAAAAUCCUGGCUCCGCCACUGCUUAUAAUCAUAACCGUUUAUAUAUGAAUCACUCUGUAAAUAUCAUCUUUGUCAAAAAAUAAAAAAAUAAACUAAGAUCGUUUAGUCAAUUUAUUAUAGCAAAUACAUAGAUAGUUCGUAAUGCUUUUGUCAAUUUCGUGUAUCUAUUUUUAUACAGUUCAAUAACUAAACGACCUUACUUUUAAUUGAUUUUUUUUUGUAGAAGCAAUCUUUAUAAAAUAACCCAGAAGUAUAAAGUAUGGCAACUGUACACACUCCCAUACCAGUAAUAGAAGCAGAAAGGUGGGACUUGGAGUGGUUGCAUUAAUCUUUGGUGGGGAUCUUGGAUUUUCAUACUUUUGGUGGUUGGGGGCAACAACGGCAACAACGGCAAGGGGACAUUAUCUCAAGAUUUUCAACCAAGUUGUGCUUCAUCAUAUCAGUGAGUGAAUUACAACAUGAAGUCCCCAACACGUGCUGCAUAUUGUCAACUUGUACUAAUUUUUGUGAAGAAAUAUUUAUUUCUGGUUCAACAAAAUCAAAGUUGUUUAUCCACAAAUUUCACUUUUCCUUUUAAAAAAAUAAUAAAAAAUAUUUAACGACGAGGAUAAUACUUGAUUCCUUCUAAAAAUAGGAGCUCCUACUUUCCAUCUAAUAAUAGUUUGACAUGCGAAUAGAGAUUUUCCUUUCUGUGAUUUUUAUGGGAUGUUUACGUAUACAUGUUAAACUUUGAUUUAUAGGAAGGAUGAAUGACUCUUUGCAGGGAAUGAGCCAAGCAAUGUCCCAAUAAUAUAAAGUUCGUUUGAAACUACUUUUAAAUGGUUGAAAACGUUUUUAAUGAAAAUGUUUUUGGAAUCAAUUCUUUGUCAAAAUACAAGUAAAUCCUAAAAAAAAAAAAACACUUGAAGUACUUUUGGAACCAAAAAUAUUUUCCUUAAAAACAUUUUCAGUCAUUUUAAAAGCACUUCAAAGGAGCUCAUAAACUAAUGUAAAUUUCCUUUAGGAAUUGACAUAUUGGGAAAGAUUCAUAGACAAGUUCACCUUUCUUCUAAAAAUUUACCUUUUAAUGGCAAAAUGACAUACAAAAAUUGUCUCAAGACUUUCGACUCUUCAACUACUUCAAGGCUUCAGGCAAAUACAAAUUGGCUCAUCAAAUGGGGGUUCUAAAGAACGGUGCAAAACCAUCGAUGGAAGAAUCCAUUGCCCUUUCAAAAGGUAUGUCUCUACGGUGGAGAUGGAGUGAUCACAUUUUAGUCUCGUGGAAGUAAGUUGUGGAGACGGCCUGACCUUCAACAUCGUAAGUGCGAACCAGUCUCUGUCUCUUGCCAAGUCCCUCAAGCCAACAGAACUCCAAAUGGAACGACAACGAUUCUGCAACAUUGUUUCCUACCUCGCACGGGCAUCCCAUGUACAUGCCUCCGGGCAAUAGAGUCAUCUGAUAACCUCCGUUGAAAGUAAUCAAGUUGUCCGACUUGAUCCCCGUCCAAGGCACAUUAGUUGUAACAUCACCCGCAGCGGAGGUGGAAGUGAUGCCCUGACAUAAUUCAUGAACGAUGAGAAAUGAAACGACGAAGAAAAGACUCAAUGAGGCAUUUUGAUUUUACGUUUCAUGUUCUCUCAAGAGGGAUUUUCUUUGAGUGGAAGAUACCUGAAUAACGUGGCCGUUAUCAUCCAUCUCAAGUGUUGCUACUAUAUCAGCUUCAGCCAUUGUUGAUCCAUAAACACCACUUCGUUUUGUUACGGAGUGACCUUUCCACGUACCAAGAAAUGGCACAAUCCUGUCUGUGUUUUCCUGAGACCAUUCAAGGAAACUUAACUAUAUGCAUCACACCGAAAAACAAAUACGCAACUAUAAAAACCAAAAUUUCGUUGAUACAAGCCUUCUUUGUGAAACUUACCACGUUAUUGUCGAGGGCAGGAGGAAGAACUGCGCCAUCUCCUCUUUCCUCCAGGAAGAUGAGAAUCAUUUCGAUAAUGCCUUUAGGGUCCAUGAUGUGGAAAGCUCUUACUCGCAUAUCCUUCUCUAGUGAAUGCAGACAACUUUCACAUACAAUAGCAGGACGAUGGGAAGGGAGCUUUAGAUUUCUACACGAUGAACAAAAAUUGAAGAGGACAGAGAUCAACAUAUAAUUAUGAAAGUAAAGAAACAAGAAGCUCAAUAACAAAAAACAUAUUGACGAAAUGCACCUUAAUUCAUCACACCAAUGGACAAGAAACAUGUUUUUACAGUGAGUACAAUAAUCUCAUUGUGUAUAGUUACAUCGGUGAAUCAUAAAGAGCGUCAUCUGAGGGAGCAACCACUCACUUUGGUGAUUCUUCACCGGCGUCAUCUUCCCCAAGAACGCCCUGUCUCAGCACUGUUUCUAACAUGCCAGCCGUCUGGUACCUUAGCGAAAAUGCUUUCUCAUUGGGGAAGAAGCCAAUCUGCAGACUAAUCACAACGGAUGUUCAACGAAAAACAAUUCAUCACAAAAUUUGUUUCUAAGCUAUAUCUUAACGGGGCAGAAACCGAUCAGUGAUCCAAUCCCCAAACACUCUGAAAACCUCACCUGCUGAUACUUGUCCACCGUGAACAUGUUCGUUUCUUUAAUUUUGUACUCCGCCCACUCCACCUCCUCAUCUAAUUCAGAAAAUGAAGUGCUUGAUGGAGCUUGUUUAAUAUAUAAUCUGCAAAGCACGAUAUCAUUAAACCAUCAGAACAAACUAAACAUGCUCACUAAUAUUCAAUAAACAAAUUUAAUUUCGACCAAUCAUAAACUUUUCGCUUAUCCGAAGCUUACGUUUGAAUGAGACUGAUGAGUUCAUCUUCCCCAUAAGAGCUAGCUGCAAGCUUUGUACUCACUUUAUGCAACAGAUUCCCAACAGUAUCAAAUUGCUAAAAUAUCACUCGAACUAAUUAAUAAUCUGAACUAAUCAAACACCAGAAUUCAUAUGAUUCCUGUUAUCUGAACACACAUUAUCUGUUUGGCUACCCAGAAAAUGCAGGAAUAAAAAUUCAAUCUUUCAUUAACUAAUCCCAGAAAACCAAAUUAAACAACAACCCAGCAAGAUUUACAUGCAUUUUUCUCAGAAAGUUGAGAAAAUUUCAGUCUUGCCAAACAAAACAUAAAACAAAAUCCCAUGUAAAUUUUUCAUUUUUUUUCCUGCGUUUUCUCAAUCAAACACAUCCCAAAUUUUAGAGACCAAACCAGUUACUUACAAAGAAGGAACCUUGCCAAUUUCCCACGUUCAGAUUAACGAAGCCGCAAAGAUUGUCGAUGCUCAUUGCUUCCUCGCUGGGCUUUCGAGCUUCAUCUUGGACUGCGGUGGAAGAAGACAAGUUGGAAGCUCGGAUUCCGGGGCUCCGGAUUGUAGCAAUGGAGCGAGAAAACGGGUUCGUGGUGUAAAGGUUGGUGGGUAGGAGUUGGAUUUUGUUGAGGUUUGGUGGGUUGGGGAUGGGAGGGAGUGAAAGUGAGUAGCAGUAAGUGGAAGCCAUGAAAGCAAACUGUGAAGAGCUCAGAGCAGAACAGAGGAGAAGACGCUGCGCUGUUUUAUCAUCUGAUCUCAAAAAUGGGCUUUAAAGGCCCAUGCUUUUUUCCCCUGUAACUAUUUGGGUAAAGCCCUCUUCAAAUCAAAGCAAUAACAUAGGGGUGGUUCGGUAUGGGAUCCCAUAUCGAAACCCUUGUUCCGAUUCCCAAAUCUAAUUUUCGGGAAUUCCAAUUUCGAUCCCGAUCCCAAACCAAAUUUUCGGGAAUCCCAAUUUUCGGGAAUCCCGAAAUAGUUUCGGAAUUUCGGGAAAAUCGGGAAUCCCAAAAUAGUUUUGGGCUUUUGGGCUUUUGGACUAAAAUUUGAUAUGGUAUUUGGGCUGCCAAUCUGUUGAAUAUAACCAUAUAGACACAAAUCUUUUCUUUGUUUUUGUUUUUUAAGGAGAAAUUUUGCUAACUAACUAAAACAUGAAAUGACAUAGAGUUCUCAACAAAUAAAACCAUAACACAAUCUGUGCAGUGUGCAGUGUGCCAAUCUGUGCAGUGUGCAAAUCUGUGCAGUGUGUCAAUCUGCCCAAUCUGUGCAGUGUGCACAAAUCUGUGCACAAUGACAAUAGCACAAAUAUGUGCACAAUAACAAUAGCAUAAAUCUGCCUAUUCAAUUUCUACUACAAAUGCAUGCAAUAAAAAUAAAAUUAAGUAACAAAUCCAAAAGCAAAAAAAUUAGUUACAAGCCAAGGUUUUAAAAUAAAUAAAGUAACAAACCCAAAAGAAAUACGAGCCAAAGUUUCAAUAAUUAAGUUACAAACCAAAAGCCAAAAAGCAAAGCUUAAAGUUUAUGAAGAUUGUUGGCCUCUUCGGCCCCUAGAUCUUGUUGAUGCUUGUGGUUGCUCCCUUCUUGUUGGUACUUGUGCUCUUCCCCUUAAUGUUGAUGGUUGAGCCAUUCCCCUUACAAUGGAUGGUCGUGGAGGUAGUGAUUGAUUUUGACGUUAUUGAACUUGAACUUGAGGUAGUCGAGGAGGUGGAGGUGGCAUUUCAUUUUCUUGUGUUGUAUUCUCCUCACCUCCCAAAUUAGCCGUACCUAAAACAAUAAACCACAAAUCAUUUACAUUGAAUUAUAGUCUAAUAGAUAAUAAAUACUAAGAAAAUAAAAGAGGAAAUUAAAUUGUUUACUUACUUCUUUCUAAGCGUUCAAGCUCUUGGUAGAAAUGGAAUUCGUCAAGUGUAGGCUCCUUGUAGAAACAAAAUUCCUUUCCUCUAAGCCAAUUACUAGUACACACUAAAGCCUCAACCGUUUUAGGUGUUAAGGAAGUUCUAAAAGGAUCAACAACUCUCCCACCAAGACUAAAAGCAUUCUCACUAGCAACGGUGCUACUAGGAAGGGCCAAUACAUCCUUAGCAACUUUACUAAGAGUUGGAUAUUGAGCACAAUUUCCUUUCCACCAAUCCAAAAGAUUGAAACCCUCAUAUGUUAGGCUUUGAUGUGGAUCAUUGAAGUACAUAUCCAAUUCAUUGGCUAUCUCAUUUUGUUGUGCCUCCGCUCUCUUUUGUUGGAUCUUCUUUGCCAUCCUUGAAGCUACAUCAAUAUCUACGAUCACACCCCCCACAUCAUCUAGUACAACACUCGAUCUUUGCUCCACAUUUGAGGUAGCACUACUACUAGUACUACUAGUACUACUACUACUAGGGACCACAUUUGAGCUACAUGUUAGUUAAACGAUGGGGUCAACUUUCAUUUGCGAACGCAAUGAUGAUACGUUUAUCUUGUGAAAUAUUUCCAAGUAGAAACAAGUAAAUGGGUAAAACACGACAUAAAUUUGGAAGAGAGAUUUUAAAUGAGCUUAUAAAUCUAUAUGUAUUCAAUGGAAGUCUACGGGGUAUAGAUUUUUAAAAAGUUUAUAAAAUUCUAUGAAAAUCAGAGUAUAUUCAUGUUUGAAGUAGUUCAUAAAACUCCAAAUGUAUUCAAUUAUGAUUGGGUUUUAAAGUAUGCUUCCAAGGAGAAACAAGUAAAUGGGUAAAACACGACAUAAAUUUGGAAGAGAGAUUUUAAAUGAGCUUAUAAAUCUAUAUGUAUUCAAUCGAAGUCUAGGGGGAUAUAUUUUUAAAAAGUUUAUAAAAUUCUAUGAAAAUCAGAGUGUAUUCACGUUUGAAGUAGUUUAUAAAACUCCAAAUGUAUUCAAUUAUGAUUGGGUUUUAAAGUAUGUUUACAAGGAGAAACAAGUAAAUGGGUAACACACGACAUAAAUUUGGAAAAGAGAUUUUAAAUGAGCUUAUAAAUCUAUAUGUAUGCAAUGGAAGUCUAUGGGUAUAGAUUUUUAAAAAGUUUAUAAAAUUCUAUGGAAAUCAGAGUGUAUUUACAUUUGAAGUAGUUCAUAAAACUUCAAAUGUAUUCAAUUAUAAUUGGGUUUUAAAGUAUUUUAAUAAUAAUAAAUUUUGAUGGAUUUAGAGGAAUUUUAUAAUGUUUUUGAGGCUUGAUAGAAUCAGGCCUCAGCCCUUAUUUUUUUUAAUGAUUUCACCAAAAAUUCACGUAUAUGUUAAACUCCAUGAAUUUAUAACUAUUUUAAAAUAUUUCAAAAUCUCAAUUGAAUACAAACCAUUAUCCAUUACAACUCAUUAAAUGGUUCACAAUCUACAGAAUGAGAGAUUUUUCAGUAUGCCGAACUAUGCGGUACACAAGUAUAAUAAUAUAAUUGUUUGAAAAUUAAAACAAAUUCUAAUCAAAUUAAAUUAACACAUGAUGUAUCGGCCUUUGUUCCCUACACACUGAAAUAAUUCUCUUACCCAACAUGUUUAAUGAGUCGUUUGUUAAUGUUUUUUCCGUUUCAAAAUCCCCAAAUAAUCUCUCUCGCCACCCACUCUCUGCUGCUGCUGCUCUCUCUCUCUCUCCCUCUCCCUCUCCCUCUCUCUCUCUCUCUCUCUCUCUCCCUUAAACAAAGUAGAACAAAAUAAUACUACAUGAUACAUCGCUUUCUCUCUCAGACAUAAAUUUUCAACGCUCAAAGAUCUCAGCGAAGUCUUGUUAAUCAGGAGAACCCAUUACAAAUGGUUCUUGCUAGAAAAAGGAAAUAAAAAAUAAAAAAUAAAUAAAUAACAUGCCAAGCAUUGGGCAAGCUUAGAAAUUCGCAAGGGAUAAAGAACACCAAAAAAUUGCAAAUUGGAGUUGAAUCUGGGUAUGAAAGUUCAAGAAUUUCAUUCAAUUCAAGGCUACAAUUAAAUGCCUUGCAUAGCCUUGCACCCAAAAGAACAUACAGAAGAUCCUGAUCACCACCACAUAUAAUUCGCUUUUACAUAUAACUAACUAGCUAGAGCGUCCACAUUAAAGCUAAGCAAAGCGCAAUGGAUAGAAACAACAUCUCAGCGGCGGAGGAGGUUAGUGAAUUUGGAGGACAAGCCACACUUGUAGCCGGAGCAAGUGCUGGAGCGAGUUCUGGAGCAGGUGGGAGCCCAUCGUGGACGGUCAGAUAAAGCUUCAUGCCAUGCCAGCAGUAACCUCCGCCGGAGAGGAAGUAAUACGGCCUUGCCUCUGUGAGUUGAUACACAUCUCGCCCUCCCCGGGUUAUGUUCUUUAUGAAGCCUUGAUCAUUGCAGUUCUCGUAGCUCGUCUUGUUCACCUCCAGAACAUUGUAGUACCUCUUGUCAAAGUUGAAUACUUGAAAACAAAGCAAUGUAUGCGCAAAGUCAGUAACUUCUAAUGCACAACUAAAAGAAGAAAAAAAAGGACGACCUCAAACCAACAAAAUUGUUUCUAAUUAUGCAAUUUUAUCUUUGCUUUACAACGAACAACGUUUUGGUUGCGUCAAGGCUCUUAUUUCUCAAUAUAAUUUAUCAAAAUUUUGAAUUGAGAAUUGUUUUAGAAGAUGUUAAAUACACAUAUAUUUUGUGAGAGAGAGAUGAUGAUAAACGUACUGAGCCAUUCGCCGACGUAAACCUGUUCAUUUGCCGCCCACUCAGUGUAAUUGACGUUCUGAUCCCAACCCUGUUUGCCUCCCACCUUAUGCAGAAUAGCGGUUGCAGACGCCAUUAGCCACCCCAUCGUUAUUACCACGGCCACCAUCACUCCCGAAUUCAUCAUCCGCAUCGCUUAACUUCACACACUAAUGUCUGCUUUCUCUGUAAACCCUAAUUUAUAACUGUUUGGCAAAUAAUGGUGAUGGUAAUGGUGGUAUUUAUUCGGAAGGUGAAGGGACGAAUGGUAAUCUGCCUCGAGAGGAACGUGGGGGUUUUCUUUUCGAGCUCAAAGUACGAGGGUGUGAGUCAAGAUUACGUAAUGGUUACUUACACACUUGCAUGAGAGACACGAAGGCUUUUUGGUUUAUUUGGGUACGUGGCAUGAGGUGAUUGGUGGUUACAAAUAAGUUGGUGACAUUGGUGGGGUCCAAGUCAUCUCAACUCCCAUCCUACAAAGAAUGUUUCAGAGCAGUUACAAUCGUUACACUUGCUCGACUGAGACUGACUGACUGAUUGAAUUUGAGGAGAUUUUUAUUAUGCUGCAUAAAAUAUGUAUGAGAAAUGCUAAAAAGAUUUUUUCAAAUGUGUAAUUAUUUAUAUAAUUUCUCUGUGAUUUUAUAUUUUUUGCAUAAUGUUUUAUUAUGUUGGUAUAAAAAUUAACGUUGAACUGUGAGGUCGUAGAAAAUCUAUAAAGAAUCAUACUUUUGAGUGUAAAAUCAUAAUUUUGGGUUUCAAACAUCCAAAUAAGUUACCAUAUCAAAAUUAAUAGCAGGCCUAAAAACCUUUAGACUUAUGCUCAAAUUUGAAGAAUAAUAAUUGAUUAAAAUAAAAUCAAAAGUUUUGGUUUCCAAAAAUUCAAAUGAAUUAUCGUAUCAAAAUUAAUAGCUGGCCUAAACGCCCUUAGACUUAUGCUCACAUUCGAAAAAUAAUAUGAUGAAAUGAAAGGACAUUACAAUUAUUUUAUAUAUUGUUUAGAAGUUUUUAAUUGUAUUUCACAGUUUUUUAAGAGUUAGGUUCUUCGUCAAGUAUACAAUUACAUUAAUUUAACAGUCAAAAUUUUCAGAGUAAGAUACCACGGAGUGUAAGAGAAGGAGAAUUUCUGAAGUUUGGGAGUGUUUUGAUGUUGGUAUUGUAACUGGUUCAGUGCAGAACAAGGCUUGUAAGGGGGGGGGGGGGGGGGGGGAAGCAAGCAACCUGCUGCAAAGCAAACAAACAGAUUCUUAAAAUUUGAUUUUGGUUUGAUUUUGAAUUGAUUUGAAGAGAGAAACUAAAGAAAAGUAAAAAAAAUUAAAGCCUGCCUAAUUUUUUUUUUUUAAAAAAAGCAUUAACAUAAAGCAUAAGAGAUAGAGAGAGGAUGAACUUGUACUGUAUCAAAUAAAGGAAAAGAAGGAAGAAUAAAAGCAAAUUUGAUCCUACAAAGAAACAAAGAUAGCAAGAAAAAAAAUUAAAAAUCUAAAAAAAAGACUAAAGAAAGUAAACAGAAAUUCUGUUUAAAAAAAAAUUGAAAUUACUAUUGUUAAGAAGACGGAGAGGGUGAAAAACUAUUACAUUGAUUUAAGGGAGAAAGAGUUUCGAACCUGAGACUCAUGAAUAGAAACCCAACACCCUAUCCACUAGAAUAUUGAACCACACGAUGGGUAAACAAAAAUUAUUUCUCAACAAUACUAUACUUUGAACCACUCUAAUGUAUAAAAAAAAAUUUGGUAAGUCUUCAAUAUUCCGAACUACUAGGUAGUCCAGCUUUAUAUUCAUUCGAUUAACAAGUAACCAAAAAUAUUUUUUUUACAAUUCAAUCAUAACCAUCAAUUUUCCGUACUACUAAGCAGUCCGAACUAUUGAAGAAAAAUUAAUAAAAAACUGAGGUUAGACUUGUAGAAAAAGGACGGACACACUGCCCUUAGAGCAAUUCCAGUGUUGCUGGUUGCUCGGGGGACAGGCAAGGAGAAAGGGCCCGACGGCUGAGGGAUGGGGAUCCAGCGUUGUUGAUUGCUCGGGGGACAGGCGAGGAGAAAGGGCCCGAGCGACAGGCCCGGCGGGGAUUGCCAGCCCGAGAGCCUGAAGGCUGUGUGACGUAUGGCUGAUGUGCGGCAUCGGUGCAUGCGCUCGGUGUUCUCUGCGUCCUCCUUCCUCCUUCCCCUUCUCGCCCUCCUUCCUCCUUGGUGUUCCAUGGCUGCUGCUGAGAGAGAGAGAGAGAGAGAGAGAGAGAGAGAGAGAGAGAGAGAGAGAGAGAGAGAGAGAGAGAGAGAGAGGACCGGUCCUCCUUCCUCCUUCCUCCUCGUCCUCCUUCCGCUCCUCGUCCUCCUUCCUCCUCGGUGUUCCAUGGUUGUUGCUGUGAGAGAAAGAGAGAGAGUACCGGUCAAAAUUAGGAAAAAAUAAUAAUAUUUUAUGGAUUGGGUGAGAAAAAUAAUAAUAUUUUAUGGAUUGGGUGAGAAAAAAAAUAUUAAUAUUUUAUUACUAAUUGCCAGGGGGAAGGGUUCCAAGGAUGAAGAUGCAAAUGGCAAUUACUAUUUAUUAAGGGCAGUCACUGUUCACUAGAUGAAUUGAAUAGUGGAUUGCCAGGGAGGAGGGCUCAAAGGGUAGAGUUGCUCUUACAUGUUACAACUUCUACAGAGCAAAAUGAAAUCAUGCAAAAGGGAUAAUGCCCCAUGUGCACCUAAUUCACCUAUUAGAUAUGACAUGGAAGUGCAAUGAGAACAAAUGAGCCCAAAGAACCCAUGCCUUCUUUUUCAUCUUUGGUCCAUAGGUUCGUAUGCUCGUGUGAUGUGGAUUUAAUGCAAGUUUUCUUCUUGUGGGAAGCUCGAAACUACGAAAAUUCUACAACCAGUUGUAUUAUUACACUUGAUGUACAAAAAAGCCGUGUUCCUGGUAAACUGAAAAGUAUCUCCAAAACAACACGCUUAAAGGCUGGAUCCAGCUCCAUGAUUGGAGGACCGCGAAAUAAGUUACAAUUAAUUUCAACAAACUUCCGUAAUCAACGCAUAUGAAGAUCCAAUAAAUAAAAAGUAUUAAAAAUCAUCCAGAAAAGAAAAGAACACUUGAAAAUUUCCUCAAUCACAACCACUGUCCUCUUUCUACUCCAUCAAGGUGAAACUAAAACAACACCAACAAAUCACAAAACCCCCAAAAACCAAAAGAAAAAUUAAAUCUAAGUAAAGUGGAUGGCAAUCUCAAGUUGCUUCCCAAAUCAAUGGCUCAGCUUACUUAGCUAGAAGAAUUGUCUAAUUUUGAUUUUGAUAAUCCUCACUGUUUAGCGAAUAAGUUUACGGAUCAUAUGCCUUCACAGCCGAACCAAAGCGUCCCACAUUGCGCCAAUGGCGAAAACCGCAGACAAAACAAACUGGGAUCUGAGGGAAGGUGUUAGGACGCUGCUCUUGCUCUUCAGCGGGGCAGCUUUGGGAGGCGGAGGCAUGUUUUCGACCUUAACAGCGAUCUUCAUGCCACCGUAGCAGGACCCCUUGCUACUAAUGAAGUAGUAGUGCCUUGUCACGUUCAGUGGAACCACGUCUCUUCCGGCUCCCGUGGUCCAGUUGUGAACGGGAUGCUCGGCAUUGCACGAGACAUAGUUGGUCUGGUUCACCUCUAGAACAUCCAUUUGGUUCCUAUCAUAAACAAAAACUGGAGGAAAAAGAAAAAAAAUUUACCAACUGGAUAAAAAUAUAAGGUUUUCUUCGUAGCAAACUAAUCUUUGGUACUUAUUUUAAGUUUUCGUGUCGUGCAGGGUGACAUUUUAAUAAGGAAAUGAUUCCGCGCACUCUUGUUUAUUUCCGGAUUUCCAUAUCUUCUACCACCCUUUAGAACUAACCAAAAGAUACACAAAAAUAUGAAAUUAAAUUGAACUGACAUUGGCUUUUCUUCACAGCAAAAGCAAAGAGGAAAACAACUAGAAAAAAGUUGCAGAUCUGAGAUUUUACAUAAGCUUUACACAUCAAGAGACAAAAUUCAGAAAAGCUCCUUAAUUGGUAAUCUGAUUAUAUUCAAACUGUAUAUAACAAACUUAAGUAAAGCAACCCCAUAUAUAAUUUGAAUAACCAAACUUGUAAUCUUUGCUUCUUUUUCUAGCAAUUUUCAGCAGGAAAAACUGAAUUUUAACUUAAGCUUUACACAUCAAGAAACAAACUUAUGGAAAAAAUGCUUUUCUUUAGUCAAACAAAAAUGGAAAAGCAGAUUUUAAGCUCAACCCAUUAAGCAAUUUUCAGAUCUAACACAAUAAAAAGCAACAUCAACAAAAAAAAAGAGCUAAAACAAGAACAUUUGAGCUGAGAAUUAACUAACAGAGAACCAUAAGCAUUGACAGAAAAAAAAAAAAAACAAAAGGGCAGAAGCUUAAUGGAUCUGAGAGAAGAGAAAGAAAGAUGAACUUACAGAGCCAGUCUCCAUUGUAAAAGUGCUUAUCCUGAGCCCAAAUUGUAUAGUUGACAUUGCUGUUCCAACCCAUUUUCCCUCCCACCAUAAAUCUCGUAGCUGAUGCUUCUGGAAGUUCCACCACCACCACCAAGCACAAAAGCACCACCACCGCCAUUGCUCUCUCUUUCUCCAUUGUUCUCUUACUCUCUCACUCUCUCACAAGCAGUAGCAGUUGCCUUAGAGAGCUCCGUCUAAAAAAGCCGCUUGCUUUUGAGCUUUUUGGGCCUUUAGUUUAGUUGGGGUAGUUUGUUUAUAUGAGGUUUCGGUUUCCAGAUCUACAAGUACCGUGGGCUAUUUAUCCAGAUAAUUUGAGUUCCUGUAUGGCUGUAUGCAAAUAUUAUAUUUCUUAAUUUGAACUUUUAUGUGUGCCUGUGCAUAAAUGCAAGAACCUAAUUGUUAUAAAUUAAUAAAAGAUUGAGUGUUUAGUGAUUAAAAAUAAUUAAUUUAAGAUUCAGUGUUGGUUGAUGACAGUGUUCAAACCAGGUCAAUGGGACAAGCUUCUCCUGUCUGAAUGUGCUGUUUUGCUGCUGUUGAAGUUAAUUAGGCAAUCUUUGUAAGUUAAAUCUUGAGCAAAAUAGUGAAAUCCAGCUCAGAGUUACUUGUGGGUUAUAGAUUUCUUAAGAAACCAAACAAUGAGAAGCAAAACUUGAUGAGGAAUUCAGUGUGAUUUUGAACCACACAGUUGUGUUGUGAUUAUAUUUACUUAUUUUAUAAUACGUGUGUUUCUUACCUUAAGUUCAUGACAUAUUAUGUAAUACAACUCUAUUAAAACGCAUAAAUUAAUGACACACGUGAUCACAUUGAUCCAGAUUCCUCUCUAACACGACAUGCCUAAGACGAUGGAAGUUAUUACAAGUCAUUUGUAGCUCAAAUGAUUGAGAGCAUUCAACCUUGCACUCGACGUUGCAUAUUUAAACCCCUACGAUCCCUUUCCGGCCAAUACCACUUGCAUAAAAAUAAAAUAAAGAGAUUGUUUCUACUAAUGACCAAUGUAUAAGGUUUGGUUAGGUUCAUAAAGCGUACGCAUUUAAAUUUUGUUGGGUGGGAAAAAUAAGACCUCAAUCAAUAGUGUCUUUCCAUGUUCGACUAAGAUGAUUGCAAUUGUGACAUUUUCAUAAUAACAAGUAAACCUAAAAGCACAUAAGUUUUCCCAAAAGUAAACAAUAUUAUGGGUAAAUACGGUUAGAGAGAUAGAUUAUUGGUCCACUCCUAACUACCUUGAUAUUGUAUUAACUUAUUCAUUUAUUGUUAAGUAUUAAUUUUUAUCAUAAAAGUAACUUAUGCAUUAUAUUUUUUCAGUUUCCUAAUAUGAAAAUUAUAUUCAGCAAAUGCUAUCUGCCAGAAGGAUUUGCCGGCCAAUUUUUAGAUUUAUUAAAGUUUGUGGACUAAAGCAAGAUCAAGUUAUGCAAAGCUACCAUCACAAAAAUCAAAUAUGGUUAUGAUGGUUGUCGUUGGCACGUUGUAAAGCAUGUGCCUUUUCAGCUGCUUUCGCUGUCCAGGGUGUUUUAUUUAUAUAUUUUACCAACAAGGACAUAAUUUAAAGAGUGGUUAUCAUCAGUGGCGGAUUCAGGAAAUAAUAUUAGUGGGUUAGUUAGAAUAGCGUGUGUAGUGCGCAAAUUUUUUUUUAUCAGAAAUAGCAUGCAUAUCGCAAUUUCAUCAAGUCUUGCCAGAUCUGAAGUCAUUUGGAAAAGCAUACUGCACAUAUGUUAAUGUAUGCAGGGGCAACACCCAAGAUAUCCAUGGGCAUUCACCAAGUCUUGGUAGGCCUAAAGUUAGUUGGAGGGCAUGUAUGAGACCAACUCUAAUCUUCAAAAAGGCAACACCCAAGGUAUCCAUGGACAUUCAUCGAAGUUCGGGAGUCAGCACCCAAGGUAUCCAUAGACGUUUACCGAAGUUCGGGAGGUCAGCUGACGCUCCCUGCCCCUCAAUGCAUCCGCCCCUAGUUAUCAUCAUUUGAAAAUGUUGACUAUUUGAGAAUAAGAACAUGCGAGCACUUUUAUUUAUAAGCGUUUUUAUUGCUCUCCUUUCCCUAAUAUGAACCUUGAGUCAUCAAAGCCUUUCUGACUCAGCCUGGCUCGGUCGCCCUAUGCGACUAGCGCUUCAAAAGGCGAAACUCUCGUCGUAGUUUGGCGACCUAAGGGGCCUUUAGUCUUUUGAUUGAGUGUUUUUAAGAGAAACACAAGACACUUGGAAGCCUUUGCCUAAGAAGUAUUUUCUUAAGAAAACACUUCUAUACAUAAAAGUGUUUUUAAAAUUUUUCGCCACAUAUAUCAUUCGCAAAUUUGAUUGUUAAACCUUCCAGAAACAGUACAAACAUAACCUCACUAGCCCUAGCCCUCUUCACUUACAAACUAUUUGGAAAAUAUUUACACCUUGAGAAGUGAAUUAUGACUAAUUUUGAGCACCAAUACCAGUCUCUAAUUGGGGAGAAAAUUUUCGGUAUGCCGGGGACACUACCCAACACUAAGUGUAGUAGUAUAAUUAGUUGAAAACUUGAAAGAAAAACAUCUAACCAAUAACGAGUUGUAUACCUGUCAUAUUGAAAAAUUUCUCCUCACUAGGUGUCUAGAACAACCCAACAUUUUUAGCUGGGUGGCACUAACAUUCAAAACUUCAGUAAGCUAGAGUGGGCUGCAAAACUUAUACAUAUAGGCUGCAGAACGGGCCUGUACUUAUUUUAAUCAUACAACAAUAACAUGUCUUUGCCUCCCAUCUUAGCAUCCACAUCAACCAGCAAAUAACAGAUAAAAGCAUAAGCAGCUCCCCAUGCUUCUGAAAAUAAGCACAAUUUAUAAAGGCACAAAUUUAUGUACGCGGAUAGUAAUAGAUAUUCAAGACUAGUUUAGCUGCCCUUCAGUCCAACCUUCUUAACAAGUAUUCAACUUGAACUUCCUUUGUCAUUGGCAUGAUCCAUUCCCCAUAUAAAUCUGCAACCAAGGUCGGUUUUAUCUUGUACACGAGGUUGGGACUUUUCUUUUCCCCUUCGUACAAUGUCACUUCUUGCCCGUAAGUUUUAGCCUUCAUUUCUACCCUCUUUAUGAUUGCCUCCUCAACCGUCGGAAAUGUCAACAAAGCCAUCACCUUGUCCCUGUUCUGAAAAAUGAAGAAAACUGACUAAGCACACGGAACAUCCAAAACUACUUAUGACAGAGGAGGACAGAGAAAUCCAUUCAAGAUCAUGUACCUGUUCGAUAAUGGCAGCUUCGUAGGACUUUGGAUUGGACUGAAACUUGCACUCCGCAACAAAUUUACCAUAGUGGAUUCGCUUGGACAGAGCCUGCCGUCAUAGGACACCCCACGUCAGCAUUUAGAAAUGCUACUUAAAAAACUACUCACAUAUAAUUACUGAAUCUAUUAACCUAUAUAAGAAGGACAUUGCUUAUUUCGCCUUCCAAAUUGAACAAGAAAUGGAAGUUGAGAACGAUAAGAUGGGUAGGAUUUGAAUACCUGCAAGCACAUUGUGUCACAAACAGCAGUUGAACCGUAAUUACCAUCAUCUCCUUCUUUAACCAGUCUUGGAAUAAUAUCUCUGAAGUACAUUUCCCAAACUUUGCUGUUUAUAUUAAUUGAGUUGGCAAUGGGAUGCAGUACCUGUUUGCAAGUCGGACAUAUAUAUUCAGAAUGAAAGUGGUUGCCACUCAGAAAACCAGAACAACGAUUGCCGCUGCCACACAACAAUGGUCGUACAAAUAGGAUAGAUGCAGAAAACGGGGAGAUAAAGAAAGCUCUCCUAUCGGAAGGGCUAGCUCAUUGUAGUGAAAUUUCAGUUAAACUAUGACCGACAAGACAUUGUUUCUUUAACUGUUUCCCAUCAAGGUCGUACCCAGUGCACAAGGCUCCCGCUUUACGCAGGGUCUAGGAGAGGUGAAUGUCGGCUAGCCUUACCCCCAUUUAUGGAGAGGCUGCUCCCAAGUCUCGAACCCGAGACCUACUGCUCAUGGGCGAAGGCACUUGCCAUCGCACCAAGUGCGACCUCUAACUGUUUCCCAUCAGUGUUAGAUUUUUAUAUGUCAAGUUUUUCGGUAGAAUCAAAUUUUCUGAAUAAAUAUUUUGUUGCAGAUGGAUACACAUAAUUGACUAACAUUUUAAAUUUAUCUAGGAAUGUUAUAGAUCGAGUUAUCUCUUAAAUAGUUUCAGAUAUAAUUUUCUUCUGAGCAAGUAAUACCAUGAAAAGACUCCGUUUUCUGUGCUUUAGACCAUGUUGAGCUUCACACAUCGGCCAAAAAAGAAAACAAAACCUCCAUGUUCAACACAACUUUCUCGAUCACAAUCAGCCCCGUUCAAGUAAGUUAUUUACUAGACCUUUUCAAAUGUUUCUCAUAGUUUGUCCCUUGCAGCCUUGCAGGAGAGGGAUAAAGAACGCAUGUUUUCAGAAUUUUCUAAACUAUUAAAUAUAUUCUUAAAAUUUUGUAAAAAGUGAAAACAGCCACAUGGAGGAUGUGGGAGGCCAUUGCCAUGCCAGGCCUGCAUAUGGCCUUGCCGUAAAGAUAAGCACAAGCUUGGGCAUAAUCAAUUUCAUCGUUCCUAAUGUGUGUUAUAUUUACCUGAGGGUAGUGCAGAGGUGGCAACACUGGUUCAGGUACGUCAUCCGGAAAGAAAGGAUGCUCAUCAGGACUGCUGAAUCUGCCCACCUAAUCACAAUGCAAAGUCGAUAAGAAACCCCAGAACAAUCCUUUCUUCGAGUUUUCUUAUUGUCCACAUUACGGUUUAACAUACCUGGCCAUGAAGCUUUUCUGUUUCUUUAAGAAUGUGUUCUACCAAGGAGCCAUGGAAACACUCAACAGGGAAAGCAUUGGGGUCGUAUGUAGGCAAAUUAUGACAGUAUUGAGCUCUCUCUAAAAGGCUAAAAAUUAUGCUAUCCUCCUGCCGGAUCAAAGAAUGUCUUAUACCUUCUAGUGUCAAACUAUCGGUUUCAUCCACCCUUUUCUUCGUAGCCAAUGAUCUACACAAUAGCCAGCCUAGUAUCAGAAUCUAGCCAUAGUAAAUUGAAAGCAAGACUCAUAAUCCAUCCAGUAAUCAAUAAUAUGCAUUUUUAUGAUGAAAGAUGGAUUUGAGUGGCAACGAACAUACUUUUCUAUGCAAAAACAUCAAAAAAUAUAUACAGCAAAGACAUGCCAGAUAUCACAACAAUCUAAGCUACAAAUACUAUUUGAAGCAAUAUAUAACACUUCCUGAGAAUUUUUAUGGUUACAUCCAGUGGCGGAUCCAGCAUUCUUACCCCCAAGGGGUCAUAGAAAAAGUUAAAUCAUAGUACUUUCAAAAACAUCUUUUUCAAUGUAAACAAUUAAGCUAUCACUCAACUAACUGGAUUACUUGUACUUGAACCAACUUGAAAACUUGAGCAAACGAUAUUUACUUGAACUUGCAUUAAUCGGAAUACUUGAAGUAGCCUGACUAAUUAAUCAAUUUAUCAAGCAAAAGCUCCCUAACAAUAACAAAAAUAAUCAAGUACUUAAAUUCUAAAGGGCGACCUCAAGCUAACAAAACUCUCCGCUUUGUGAGGGUCGGGGAAACGUUUAUUGUAUGCAGCCUUACGCCUUUACAAAGAAGCUGUUUUCACAACUCACCGUGACCUUUCAGCCACAAAGGAGCAGCCUUUCCCAAAUUCUGUUUCAAAAUAAUAUUUUUGAACAAUUAUUUACUCUAGACUUGAGGAAAAAAAAUAAUAAUUUCACGCAUCUUAUUUGGUGCUUAUUAAAUAAUUAGAGACUUCAAUCAAUCAAUGGAGUUUAUGUGCACAGAAAAAUAAAAGCAUGCCAAUUUCCAGAAUAACAAUACAAAAGCAGAAUACACACACACACACACAUAUCUCUCUCAUAAAACCAGAAUAACCAGCAGAUCCAUAAAAGGGCAAAGAAAGAAAAUCAUAGAACCCAACAAGUUUAGGCAAAAGGGUUGCUGGAUUUGUACCCAAUGGAAGUCGAAGCAGCCUGGACAGACAAAUUUGGUUUCUUUGGUAAGGAGGAAUUGAGGCAUGCAAAGCUGUUGGAUUGCAUUGCUUUCAAGGGAAACAAAUAAUUGGGUCUUGAAUUGGAAACAUGGGGAGCUGAAAGAGCGGCAGGAGAGGAGGCCAUCAGCAGCUUGGCCUCCAUUGAUGAGAGAGAGAGAGAGAGAGAGAGAGAGAGAGAGAGAGAUGGGUUCUUUGAGAAAUCAGGAGAAAGAAUGGAGGUAUGGAAUUGGGAGAAAUACUACGGUGAUGGUUGGAAGGGGGAGGGAGGAGGGGGUAGGUGUAGAGGUUGAGUUGGUGGUGGGUAGGCUGAAGACACAAACGAAAGCAAGACCCCUGCACAUUAUUUUCUGAGACUUUUUGUCGUGAUUGGUUUGUUUGGAUGUAAGCAUGUGCGACACUUGAGUUCCAGUCUUUCCGUUCACGUUGCGGUGACGUUUUAGUUCAAUACAGUUUUUCUUCAAAUAGAAGUGCAUUAUUAAAUGAAAACGUUACGUGGCUGUGAAUUUAUUUUAUGUCCUUUUUUUUUAUUGUAAUGGAACUUAUGUGAUAUGUCACAGUUAUGAUAUUUCAUGUCAUUUACACGCAGUUACAUACUAAAUAUGUGCAACUAUACAAAAAAUUAAUAUAAAAUACCUUUACUGUGACAUCGUGAGUGGGAAGUUAUAUUACUAAUUAAGGGCUCGUUUAUACAUUCUUUUAAAAUGACUAAAAGCACUUCCAAAAGCACCUAAAGUGAUUCAUGUAAAAAUCACCAUUUAUGUGCUUCUUGGAAGCACUUCAAGUGUUUUUCUAAGAUUCACUUGCAUUUUUAACUAAAACUUGGUUCUAAAAAUACUUUCAUAAAAACCGUUUUCAGCAAUUUUAAAAAUAAUUUCAAACGAAUCCUAAAUAAUUAUCAACGGUGUCUUAGGUGGAUAGAACAAAUAAUGGUUCUCACAUACCCAGUGACCUGCUAAGUUUGGUCUUCAUUUUAAAUGUGUUUCAGGAACAAUUUGAGAAUGAGAACAAUUUUUCUCACAUGGGUUUAUAUAAGAAAAAAAGAACAAGACAAAAACGACCAUGAAAUUUCCACUUUCAUUCCUAAACUCUUUAUCACAUGACAUUUCGAUUUUUAUUUGAAUUAAUGUUUGAUUUGUUUAAGCAUUUAGUGGUGAAAGAAUAUAAUUGAGUGGAAUAGUUAGUAGGGAAGGCAACUAGGACAUAUGCUCUUCAUUGAGUCUUUUCUAGAAGGAAACGUGUUAGAUUGAACUAUCCUAUAUUUUGGACAUCACUACAAGGGAAUUUGGCAACCAAAAUUAGUUCAUAGUGACGAUUUUCACACUCUCAUUUUUGUCUGUUUGCACUCGUAUAUCUUAUUUUUUAUGUUUUUGUUAACUAAAGAAACAAAGAGAAGUAAGGAGCGCAAACAAGAACAAUAAAAAUAGUGAAAAUCACUACCCUUUACUUUAGGACACUAUGACAUAUCCUAAACUUUGUAUUAUAAAAAAUACGAGCUUGAGAACAAUAAAUUUUUCCAAGUUUUUGGCUCAUAUGCUGACCUGGAGUUCCGUGCUCUUAGGUCAGCUUAUGAGCCCAAAACCUUAAAAAAUCUCUCCUGGAGGAUAGAAUCGAGCCCAUUAUUCUGAUCAAUUGACCAAACUUACGUUAAUCAAAAUCAAUUUGUUUGGAUCAAAGCAAAUUUGAGUGAAUCUAGAGAUUGGGCUGCAAAAGCCCACUUAUUUAGCUCUUGCAAAUUGGGUCAGUCCACUCAGCAACCUCCUCAAAUCUCUCUCUCUCUCUCUCUCUCUCUCUCUCUCUCUCUCUGUGUGAGAUGAAAAAUCAAAUCCUAGCCUCUGCUUCCCACAAACCAUAAUAACGGCCAUGGCUUUUCCACACUGAACCCAAAAAGAUCCAAACUUUCUGCUCCAAUCUCUCUCUCCCGCCAUGCAAAUGUGUGUACCAGUUCGAUCCCCGUCGUGGGUUUCCCGGCGACGGAUCUUAGACCAGAAGCUCUCCGACCUCCACAGAUGUACAAACCUCAGCCACGUCAAGCAAGUCCACGCCCAAAUCCUCAAAGCCGACCUGCACCAGGACAUCCACACGGCGCCCAAGCUCAUCGCCGCUUUCUCCCUCUGCCGGCAGAUGGCGCUGGCGGUAAACGUUUUCAAUCAGAUUGAUUACCCAAAUGUCCACUUGUACAACACUCUUAUCAGAGCUCACAUUCAGAACUCGCAGACUUCUCAGGCCUUCGCGGCCUUCUUCGAUAUGCAGAUUAAUGGGGUUUAUCCCGAUAAUUUUACUUACCCAUUUCUUCUGAAAGCUUGUUUGGGCCGGCCAUGGCUGCCGGUAGUUCAAAUGAUUCAUGCCCACAUUGAGAAAUUUGGAUUUGGGUUGGAUAUCUUCGUGCCUAAUUCGCUCAUUGAUACUUAUUCAAAGUGUGGAUUGAUUGGUGUUAGCGAGGCGAAGAAGCUGUUUGUGGUGAUGGAAGAGAGAGAUACUGUGUCUUGGAAUUCAAUGAUUGGUGGGUUGGCAAAAGCUGGGGAGCUGAGUGAUGCACGCCGCUUGUUCGAAGAAAUGCCUGGGAGAGAUUCGGUUAGUUGGAAUACGAUAUUGGAUGGGUAUGUGAAGGCUGGGGAGAUGAAUGAAGCCUUUGAAUUGUUUGAGAAAAUGCCUCAGAGGAAUGUUGUCUCGUGGUCGACUCUGGUUUCUGGUUAUAGCAAAGCUGGGGAUAUGAGUAUGGCAAGAAUGAUGUUUGAUAGGAUGCCCUUCAGGAACUUGGUUCCAUGGACUAUUAUUAUAUCUGGUUAUGCCGAGAAGGGGCUUGCGAAGGAGGCGAUAAUGCUAUAUGAUCAAAUGGAGGAAGCUGGAUUGAAGCCUGAUAAUGGUGCUGUUAUUAGUAUAUUGGCCGCUUGUGCAGAGUCUGGUUUGAUUGGAUUGGGUAGGAAAGUUCAUGCCUCAAUUGAGAGGACUCAGUUCAAGUGUAGUACUCCUGUGUCGAAUGCUUUGCUUGACAUGUAUGCCAAGUGUGGUGUGUUGGAUGAAGCAUUUAGAGUCUUUGAUGGGAUAGCAAAAAAAGAUUUGGUGUCUUGGAAUGCCAUGCUCCAAGGGUUAGCCAUGCACGGGCAUGGCGAGAAGGCUCUUGAGCUUUUCUCUCGAAUGGUGAAAGAUGGGUUUUUUCCGGAUAAAGUUACCUUCAUUGGGGUCUUAUGUGCUUGUACACAUAUAGGAUUUGUGGAGGAAGGUCUUCACGCUUUCAACACGAUGGAGAGGGAGUAUGGGAUUGUACCUGAAGUUGAGCAUUAUGGUUGCAUGAUUGACCUUUUGGGUCGUGGUGGGCAUCUCCAGGAGGCUUUUAGGCUUGUGCAUAGCAUGCCAAUGGAACCGAAUGCUGUUAUAUGGGGUACCCUUUUGGGGGCAUGUCGGAUGCAUAAUGAUCGGGAACUAGCAGAGGAGGUGCUUAAUCACCUAGUUAAGUUAGACCCGUCUGAACCAGGAAACUUUUCCAUGUUGUCAAAUAUCUAUGCUGCAGCUGGUGACUGGGCAAAUGUUGCUAAUGUAAGGAUGCAAAUGAGGAGCACCGGAGUCCAGAAACCUUCUGGGGCUAGUUCCAUCGAGGUGGACGACGAGGUCCAUGAAUUUACAGUUUUUGAUAAAUUACACCCUAAAUCUGACGAAGUGUAUGGGAUGAUCGACAGACUUCGUGUGGAUUUCAAGCAAUUGAAUGUGUCAUCGCGGAGUAUUAGCAAUGGGAUAGGUGGAUAAACUGUGAAAGACAUUUAUUUGGUGAGCAUCAGCUGACUUAAACUUGGCCAGAAACACUUCUGCAAGUCUCCUAAUUGGAAAAUUCCCAAGGGGAAACUUCUCACCAAUGUUCUUAGAUUAUAAACUUGUAUACUUGUUGAUAAAUAGAAGGGGAUCAAUCGUUUGAUUUGUUGCUUAUGUGUAUCAGUAGAUUGGAAUUAACCUCUAACAAUGAUCAAUGCCAUUUAUUUUUAUCAGUGAGAUAAUAAGUUUGUUACUGCCUUACUGUGUCACAAUAGUACAAUUCUUGCAGAGAGCUGGGGAAGUGUCUACAGGUAUAGCACCGUAUCCAUAUCACUGCUUGUCACUGCUCUGCCAUCAAUUCCAAAUUUAGGAAAUAAUAUCGCAAUCAAACAGCGGGAAAAGGGGAUGAGAAAGGAUCGCUCUUGCUGAUAUGCUGUAAGUUGUAACUCAACCUUGAAUUUCUUAACGAAAUUAUGUUAUCUUAAAAACAAUUGUACAUCGAACUACUGUGUUGUAAGCUAUUUCAUUCACAGAAGAAAAACUUAUCUUAAAAACAAUUUGCCAUGCAUUUUAACUUUUUAACAUAAUAGUGUGUUAUUGACUUAGAAUACUGAUACAGUAACAUCCGUCAAAUAACUCCUCCGUUCCAUCUAACAAGUUAUUGUGCUUCAAAGUUUGGUGAGCAAGUGCCCAACAAACAACUGGGUACAAGUAUGACACGUCACCCAGAUUGGUUUGAUUGAUUAGAAAAUCCCCUUACGCACAAAUGAGGAGGAGGUCCCUGUCCUUUUGUGCCAUUUUUAAAGUCAUAUCCACUGGCCCAUACUUUGAAAGCUUGCAAAUUAGAAAGUAAUAUCCAACAUGGAUUGGGAUUGGAUUAAAUACCACCAUGUGGUGCACAUUUAUUCUCACUCAUUCAGUCUUUGCAUAUAUUAUCAGCUUAUAUAUCAGUGUAUGAUCUGCUCUUUUUUUCUUGCCAUCUGUGAAGCUUUGAUCUACCGUCAAAAGUUCAUCAAUGGAAGCUUGUUUUCUUGCCUCAAAUUCCUUCACCAAAACUGUUACUUCUCCCAACAGAAAUUUCACUCAAUUUCAAUCCAAAAGAGUUGGGAUUCCAUCUUCAAUAACAUGUAAGUUGUUCUAUUGAUUUUUUAUUUCAAGCAGGGAAAAAUUCCAUGCUCUUCUUGCAUAUUCUAACGGGGUUUCUGUCGAAUGAUAGGUAGCCGCGGGGAGUCAUCAACGCCGUCCAACGAUGAUCACAAACCUUCCAUUGAUGCAGAUUGGCGAUCAUUCAGAGCAAGACUGGUAGCUGCAGAGAAAUCAAGGCCAAAAGAGCCCACUUCAACUUCCUCACUUGAUCUUGACACUGUGGUGGAUCAGCCUAAGCCCGUCACCGUCGGUGACAAAUGGGCUCACGCAAUCCACGAGCCUGAAAAGGGCUGCCUACUCCUUGCAACCGAAAAGCUCGACGGGGUCCACAUAUUCGAACGGACGGUCAUUCUGGUGUUGUCCACUGGGCCAUUGGGACCGUGGGGCAUCAUACUCAACCGGCCCUCCCUCAUGUCGAUCAAGGAAACGCGAUCAACCGCUCUGGACGUGGCGGGCACGUUCUCGGACCGGCCGUUGUUCUUCGGCGGGCCGUUGGAGGAGGGGUUGUUCUUGGUGAGGCCCAAAGGGGGUGAUGGUGUAGUUGGGAGGAGUGGAGUUUUUGAUGAGGUGAUGAAGGGGUUGUACUAUGGGACAAAGGAAAGUGUGGGGUGUGCGGCUGAGAUGGUGAAGAGGAACAUGGUUGGGCUUGGGGAGUUUAGGUUUUUUGAUGGGUAUUGUGGGUGGGAGAAAGAGCAGUUGAAGGAUGAAAUAACAUCUGGUUAUUGGACUGUGGCUGCUUGUAGCCCAAGUGUGAUUGAUUUGAGGAGUGUGGGAAGUGUUGGCCUUUGGGAGAAGGUCCUUGGGCUUAUGGGCCGUCGGAAGGUCCGGUGAAAUCCAUUUGCGGUUGUUGGAUUCAAUAUUGCUAGUAUCAGUCGUUCACGUAUGUAACAAUUAUGUACAUAAUUGACAAGUGUUGAUUAAUAAGAAGUAUGAAUCUUAUUAUAGAUCUCACCCUAUUUACUUAAUGAACAAUUGAAAUUGUCAUGCCAAGCAUGAUCCUGCGUAUUCAAUUAUAUUUAUUGAAAAAUUUAGAAACAAUCUAAAAAUAAUAAAGUACGAUUUUUUUUGUUUUCAAAGGAGAACUUUAUUAGAGACUAAUUGUAACGUUUACAUCUGCGAGAAUAUGAAAAAGAAACUCAGGACCAUAAUCAUUCAUUCAAAUUAUUUUGUUCUCCUAAUUUAUAAAUUAAAGUAAUAACAUCAACUCCUCUUUAAAAAUGAACAACUGGAUAAGUGGAUAAACUAAGUUCUACAUUUCCACAAGUUAUAUGGAUAAGAACACACAAUGAUGAGAUAGAAUCUUCUGCACUCUUUUUGUAUGUGGUCACUAUGUGACUUAUCAUUCAUUGACAUGUGUGAAUAAACUUAACUCUCUUAACUUUAUUGUCAUAAAUUUAAAACGUAUCAAUAAAUAAUAGAGGUCAUAAUAAGACCACACACAAAAUGAGUACAUAAAAUUUGAUUUCCACGAGGAUGGUAAUUUGAAUUAAUGACUUAUUUAGUAGAUGUAACAUUGUGAUUUGUUGAUUAGCAUGGUAUUUAACAUGUCAAUUUGUAGUAAUAUUGUGCACAGAAAAAAAAAAAACCAAAAUGCAAAUAUAUUUGAAUAUUAAGGAUGAAAUUAAAAUUAAAUUUCCAAAAGAAUUUGAGUCUUGAGUCUUUGAGUUGACCAAUCAGAUUUGGACCAAAACAAAAAAAACAAAAGCAAAAUCCAAAAAAGCAAUCAAAAUUUUAAAUUGUGUGCAAAUAAAAAUUUAAUACAAAAAUGUAUCCACUUUUCAAAUUUCUCUCUCAUAUUUGUUUAGUCUGAAGUAGAAGACCUGGAGCCACGCUCUUUUCAACGCAGGUGGAAAAGACACACGGCCACCUCAGACAUCAAAUGUCACGGUUGGGUUACGUGGCGGAACAUGAUCACUAGCGUGUAUAACACACUCCGAGGCAGAUCGAAUGAUUGUAUGGAAUCAGCCACUUUCGGAAACUGUUAAGUUGUUGCUUCAGUGAACCCAGUUGUCUCCAUCUUUUUAAGUACUUUCUGAAUAUAAAUAUAUUUGCACCCAAAAAGCACGGAACGUGGAGAGAAUCUAGAAAAUGUUGAAAACACAGAAUUAAGAUAAUUAAAAUAUGAUUAUGUCUUUGACGAGUCUCGUUCUCUCGGUAACUUGGUCUAAUCGUAGAUGUAUAAUUAUUUGACGAAGAAUUUAACAUUAAAAGCUGAGAUUAAAAAUUAAAAAUAUAGUAUUUAAAAUUUUCAACUAAAAUAGUUAUUAAGAUUGUUAGAAUUCUUUACUUUAGUCCUUGAAAUUUAAAAUCAAUAGAAAUAAUCUAUUAGAUUGUUCACCAUCAAUCAUUUUGAUCAUUAUGUGAAAAUCUCGCUUAAAUUGAAAAAUCAAAAUAUUAAUGGUAGAUAAUCUCAAACUACUCUUAUUAAUUUUAAAUAUAUGCCAAUCUCAAAAAUCAAUUUAGAUAAAAAGCUUAAAUGAAUAUUUCUACCCUUCAUAUCAAAUGGAAAAAUGAAUAAUCAUGUAUUCGUUGGUCAUCGGGUGACCAAGAGAAUAUAUUUCUUUAUCUAGCAUUUCCUUAAAAACCCAUAAAAAAAAAGUUAUAUUAAAUGUGGGAAAAAAUCAUUGGAGCAAAAGCCAAAGAAGAAGAAAGAGAAUUGGGUGGGGGGCAUAAUAUUAGAAUAAAUGUGCAGACCACAAGUUGACAAAUUCCAGUCACUGUUGUUCUUGAACAAGUCAUUUGUUGUUGUUGGUUCCUGGGUUCUCUGAGUGUGGGGGAAUUAAAAAGGAAAGAUCUUUCUGUGUUUGGGAUAUGGGAAAUUGAAAAGGAAACCUCUUUCUCUGAUUUUCUCAUCAGAUUCUGCUCCAGCAGCAGAUCUGAUUUGCUCUGUGACAGUAAUCUCAGUUUUCUUAUAUAUAUAUAUAUAUAUAUAUAUAUAUAUAUUUUUUUUUUCUGAUUGUUUAAUGUUAGUUCAGAACAGAAGUACCUACUUUUGUUGCUGCUGUUUUGUAUUGCGGCUGUGAAGUUUGAUGGAGUUGGAUUGGUUUGUGGGUCAUCGGAAAUUUUGGUGAAUUUGUAGGGCAAUCCUGAGAAAGCCUUGUGGAAGAUUAUUAACCAUAUGAGGUAAUUUUCAAUUUUCUGUUUUAAUUUUCAAUUUUUUAAUUUUUUUAAUUUAGUCUGCAGAUUAAUUUGUAAUUUAGUUAUCUGUCAUCUGUUUCUUUAUAAAUUUCUUUGUAUAUUUGACUCUCUACAUAUAUAAUUAUAUAUGUAUGUAUGUAUAUAUAAUUUUAUAUCUUUGGAUCUGCUGUUUUUCAAUCUAGGCUUAGAUUUUGGACUCUGUUUAUUUCUUAAUCCGUAAGAUUAACAGUCAUAACUCAAAUUUUGAAUGGUAACUUGGAGUUGCUUGUAUCUUAAGAUAGUAAAUUCUUUCCUUUCGAGAAAAUUCAGCCGCGUUUUUUGACCAGAAUCUUGGAUGGAUCAUGGACAGGAAAGGAACAUUGGGUUGAAAUGUGCUAAUGUGGAGCUAGGAUUAAUGAUAAUCACUAGAAAAAGAAAUGCAACUUUGAAAUUAUGUGUUAAAAGCUAGGCAUUUCACUGGUUCUUGCUGAUUUACUCUAUCUGGUGACUAAAGAUUUCGGAACUAGUGAGUUGCGUCGAGUUUCAGUGUGCAAUCUGAUGAUGUGGUUCUGCUGAUUGUGUUGACAGUACUGAGGCUAAGUUGAAUUCUCACUAUAUCUAAGUUGAUUUUUGCUAAUGCUUCUCGGGUUAAUUGCAGGAAUGGGAACUGAAGUGCAGUUGAAGAUGUAUUUCCCGGAAUAUUGUUCCAUACAGAAUCUAAGCAGCAAUGUCGGCCAUGGGAGCUGGUCCCUACUCCACGAGAACACAAACUUGAAGAAUGGGCAACAAUACGAAGUGUUCUUGACAAGGCCAGUUAUUGAUGGAUUUCACGGACACGAUAAGGAGCAACUGAGGCAAACUAUUCUGAAGCAUGAGACAAUUUUCAGGCAUCAGGUGUAUAUUCUAGAACCUAUAUAUGUUGAGUUCUAAAGUGUAGUAAUGGUCAUAGAUCUUAUCGUAGUAUUUAGAAAGAUUGAAUAACGGUUUUAUAUUGGUAAGAAAGUGUCGAACUUUGAGUGCUCAAAUUCGUUAGCCAGUAGUAUAAUGCCUUUGCCUUUGUCUGUGAUUUUCUUAUUCAGCUCAAUGAACUCCAUCGUCUUUACGAAAGGCAAAAGGACCUGAUGAACGAGAUCAAAAGCAAAGAGCUUCUUAAACAUCAAAAAGUAGCAGGGAUAUCACAAUCAACUUUCUCAUCAUCCGGCUUUCCAACUGGAGACGACAGAAAGAGUUGGCAUAUUUCUAAUUUAGCCUUGUUGGAUUCCAGUUAUGGUAGGCAAUCUACAUCGAGUACCUGUAUCAGCCAACCUCCUCGCGAUUCUAUUGGAAAAACCCUGCAAAACAGCUGUGUCCCCAGCCAAAGUAGAGUAGGGAUGAAGGACUACGAAUCUUCGGAUUCCAGAGUGAAGAAGCCUCGAAGAAGAUUGUUCAAUCUUGAACUUCCAGCCGAUGAAUACCUCAGUGAUGAAGAAGAACCAGAAGGAGGUUUGGGGUCGGGAACAGACAAAUCUGGCUAUAACAAUAGUGUGUCGAGCUCUGGUUUGCAUUUAGUAAGAAGCAAUGGUUUGGCUGAUCUGAAUGAACCUAUUCAGAUAGACAAAGUGUCUGCCUCAACUUCUGUCGUUAUGUCUGGCAACCAACCGAGCUCCAAAGAGGAGAUAGAAAGGCAGGUUUUAUCUGCAAAUGCGUACAAAGGCGUGUGGCCUUUUGCAAAGAAAUUCCCUGAAAACCCACAAACAGGGAAGGAUGGAAGAGUUGGUGAUCUGCAUUUAAAGAAUGAAAUCCAAAAAGAGUGGUCAACAAAUGCUCUCAGAGAUGGUAAGGGUCUAGUUAUCUUAUUUCGUGUUUACUUCCGUUGUGAUUCAGAUUUUGUACUUAAGCUCUAAAUUCCAUAAUUGUUCAAUCUUGCCGCAUUACAAGUUUCAUUACUUUCAAAUUCUUGCCUGCACAUACGACUCUUAUCAGAUGCACGCUGGUCAUUAUAUCUACAAAAGGGAAGGGGGCGGUCGGGCAGGGAGUCUGUCUCUAGAAUUCAUUUUUAGAGAAGAAACUCUCUUAGUUAUUUCAUGGUUAGACUACAUGAAUAUAUCCCUGGUGAAUUUCUUACCAUUUAUCGACAUCACCAAACAAGUAGUUAAUCAUGUUUCCUCCAUCGUUUAGUUUACUGCUAAUAAGGCUCAAGAUUGGAAAAUCUUACAAAGGGUUGCAGUUCUCUUCAUUUUGGACUAACGGAUUGAUAUGCUUUUUUUCAGAGCAAAUAAGAAGUUCUUCUGGCGGAAAGUUUGGUCUUCAAGAUUUUAAUAAGCCAUGUGAAUUGUCAGAAAACGAAGCUACGGUAACCUGUGCUCCUUCUGCUAAGCUUUUCACUUCUGAUCAGAAUAAAACGGAGAAACAAAUAAAGAGGACACUUUUUGGUAUAGAAAUCUCUGAAAGCGAUAUAAGUUCAUCUGCUAUGACUUCGCAAUCUGGUGCAGCCAUUUCCGAGUCAUCUCCUAAUUGGACAAUACCUCCAAGUAGCUUGAGCGAGAACUUAACAUCAAUUCAAGUAAGCACUUCCGUUAAUACCUCCACACAAUCUAAUAGGGCUUCAAUCAUGAUGCCACAAAGCAGUGAAGUUACCCGGGACAGAUUGCUUCUUGACUGUAAUUCAAUACCGUCAACUCCCAGUCUGAAAGACGAAGUGUCACACCAAAGCAGUUUUUUCUUCCGCACUAAGUUGGAGGCCAAUCAAUUACAGGCUUGGCACCCCUCAAUGAGCCUUGGCUGCCAAGGGAACCAUUCAACGUCAGGUCACCGGGUGGAUGUCAAACCUGCUAUUGAUGUGAAUGAUGUUCCUCCUAAUAAAUAUCUGCAUGGAGGAGCUUGUGAACAAAAUAUAAUUUCUCUCAAUGGGUUGAGGAACCAAGAAAGCCGACAAGGAAGAUUGCAUUGGCUUGAAGCACUGCCACUUUGUGAUGGCAAAUCUUCCAGAGAAAUUGAAAGCAGACGCACGUGUAGAGGGCAACUGAAAGCAGGCGGUCUGGUUCUAGACAAGGGAUUUUCAAAUGAGAAUUCUGAUCCAAGACACCAAAUAGAUUUAAAUAGAUGUUUAACUGAAGAAGAAACUGAAAUGACUGCUGCUUCCCCAGUUAUGAGGGCAGAAAUUGUGACAGAUUUGGAGGCACCUCUUGACUCACCCCAUGAGGGCUUUAUCAGAGUUGCAGCCGAGGCUCUAGUUGCCAUCUCAUCAUCCCAAGCUCCCGAUAUGCAGGAAAAAGCCACUUGUCGCAAUCUGGAGGCUUCAGAAAACAACUCCCUUCUUUGGUUUGCAGAAGUAAUUUCUUCACAUGAUGGAAAUCUUGACAAUGGAAAUGCAGCAGAGGUUAAGCAAACUUCCUGUGAUGAAGAGGCUUUUCCCGUUGACAUGGAUUUUUUUGAGCACAUGACAUUAAAUUUGGUGGAAACCAAAGAAGAGCAGCAAUGUUAUGUGCCUCCAAAUUCAGACAGCCUCACAGAAGAAGCGACAUUGUCGAAACGGCCACGAAGAGGCCAAUCGAGGAGGGGGAGGCAACAGAAGGAUUUCCAGAGAGAUGUACUUCCCAGUCUUGCUUCUUUGUCAAAAAAUGAGGUGAUCGAUGAUCUUCAAAUAAUUGAAGGGUUGAUUAGGGAAUCUGGUGGGAAUUGGCAAUCAAGUUUGUCAAAAAGAAAUUCUGGUAAGGGUGGUAGGGGAAGGGGGAGGAAACGUAUGGACACUCCCAUACCGUCUACUAAUGUGGCUGAAGUUUGCCAGCCCCAGAUUGAGCAACCAAAAUGCGAGGAGCUGCAGGGACCUGAGGAGAGAAAUUUAACUUGUUGGGGUAAGAGGACAAGGCGUCCACCACGGCAAAGAUAGCCGAUUGAUAAUUCUCCUAUUCCUCAAAAAUAAACAUGGAGAGGUCCUUUCCGUAGAGAUACUGAAGUUCAUCGGAGUAGAGUUAACAUGCGUGGAUCUGCCCUCGAAGUUUUUAAGCCGUGGAGUUGUAAUUGUACACAAUCCUUAAUUUGGUUUCCGGUAUUCUGAGUGAACUUGUAAGAUUAGUCAAAAUAAGUUUACAGAAGAAUUUGUUGAACUAAGAGAGUGUAACAUAAACUGCAGGAUCCUUCGAACUCAGAACCAUGAGCAAUUCUGUUUAGCAAUAUACGCUUCACUUUAGGCAAUUCAGUUUAGCAACAUAGAAUAUUCAAUUUAGCAAUAUAGAUUAUUGACUGUGGAAAAAUGCUGUUUCGAAGAAGUGUCCGACAUUGACAAGAAAAAUACAAAAAACAGAGCUCUUGUUUUUCGUAUAGAUUAUUGAUUGUGUGAAGGUGUGACGAGUCUUCUAUCUUAAUUUUGUAUUUGUAUUUCUGCGUAUGGAAGUGUCAUAUUUUUUUGCCUUCUACUUGUGGAAAAUGAUAGGGAGACCAGAAGAACUGAUUAAUGAUGCUUUCCUCAUAUUGUUUGUAGAUUCACAAAGAAAACUUGAAGCAUCACGUGAAAACAAAUGGGUGGCAACCAUGGCAUGGCGCUCAUGUUGCAAGAAAAUUUAACUCAUGGAUGGAUUUAUUUUAUUUUAUUUUAAAUGUUGGUAACUACAAAUGUGUCUUCGAAACAUAUUAUAAGGUUUUCUUUAAUUUUCAUGGAUGUAUUAUAAAUAAUUUCCUCUUUGUUAGGUUUUUGUUCCUUUUUAUUUUUUUUGGUUCCCUGCAUGUUUGUGAGAUGCACUGCCUAUGGAGAAGAAAUACUAAAAAGAAGGGAAAAAAAUAGAAAGAAAAAUAGUUAAGCAAUUCAGUACUGAGUAACUGAAACGUUAGAGAAAAAAAGCCUAACAAAAACAAGAAGUUUGCUUGGUGUUGAAAUUUAGAGGAGGCCAAUGCCAGAGUCAAUAGUCAAAACGUGAAUAAAAAAAAAAGAAUGAAAGGGAGUUAGCUUGACUUUGGACUUUAAUGCAAUUAAUUAACCACAAUACGUACACGGUAUAGCUUUAGCUAUUACAAAUUACAAUGAAGAACAACUACUGCAAGACGAUUUUAGAGGCGCUACACUGUAAUAUAAAAAAUAAAAAAAAAAAUCUCUUGCGAGGGGGAGUGGAACAACACAUAUAAAACAUUACUUUAUGCAAAAUGAAAACAAAAAACUAAUUUGUAUCUCAAUUUUUUUUUACUGUCAUCACAGAUUAACUAUGUUAACUAAUCUAUGUUGUAGAUACUACAUAUACGUAUAUUACAAAAGUAGAUGAGGGCCUCAAUUGGUAAAGAAAACUGAUACUACAUGUACAUAUAUUACAAAAGUUGAUGAGGGCCUCAAUUGGUAAAGAAAACUGAAAUUUGACAUGAAAUGAGAAAGAAAAGUCUGAUGAGAUAAUACAGGGAAAGUAUUUUGUCUUCCAUGUUGGUUUCACGAACAUUUCCUAUUUAUUAUUUUUAUUUUUAUUAAGAAGUGAGUCCCUACGUGGACAAUUUUCGAAGGUAGUUUACUUAUCUUCUCCUAGACUGCUGCGGAUGUUAUUCCAACAUCUCCUGCACUUGCACUUGCACCAUUCGGCUGAUCGGAUCCCAUAACCAACUCUUUCAAUUUGUCAAACAUUCCGGACGCAGUAACUUCUGCACUCGCACCAAAAUUCAUGAAGAACUCUUUCAGUUUGUCAAACAUUCCGGAUGCAACAACUCCUGCACUUGCACCAAUAUUCAUGAACAACUCUUUCAGUUUGUCAAACACCUGAAGAAGCUGUUCACGUGCUCUCUGAUACAAACUUUUCAAAACAUCUGCAAUUUCAUGGUAGGAAUUUGUUACUGCAAUCACAAGGCAAAUGCUCCAUGCUGCCAUGGCGAACCACCCCAAAGCUGGAACGAUGAUCAACAAUUCUAAGGUUAUGGCGAGUGUUCCAGACCAGAGGCUAAUCUUAUCCAUGAAGUCAGACAAAUCUGGAUUUUCACGAGCUGGGAAUAUCUUGACCGACAGUGCCCAUGAACUGAUGUAAACCACAAUAGCAACAAUCAAAGCCACCAACAUGUCGUAUUCCGUGGACAACAGAUAUUCUGCAGCCCCAGCUCCGUACCUAAGCUGGAUAAACCCGGCUAGCGUGGGGAUGGCAAAAAUAAUACGCUUGUGCAAUGCCUUUGAAGAACUUUGACGAUCAUGUUCCCCGGCCUCGCUUGUGCUAUUUUAUAAAUAUAUGGUUAGAAAAUUAUAUUGGGUUAUAAGCAUUUUCCAUCUAGGUAUAUAGUGAUAAACAUUUUAGGCGUAUCAUGGUUCACCACAAGCAUCACCAAUACGGUUCAAAUUUAAGCACCUAUUACUAGGUCUUGAAUUUUAUCAUAAAAUGCUUUGGUGAUUUAGAAUUGAAAUCUCCCAUAUUUUCAAUGUGAGAUUCUAACAUAUAAUUUUUCUCACCGCAUAAUGUACAAUGAAUGGACAUGAUUGCUUGAUUCCCGGGAUCCCCACAAAGAGGAUCCGGCAGGGAUCCUUUUCCAUUUACAAAGUGUUAAUAUUGUACAUCUAAAUAACAUUGAUUGAACAAAUCAAAUACUCAGUUGGGAACUUUCUACUUAUUUUUUGCGAAAGAAAAAAAAAAUUAUACUUAAUCUUUAUAGUUCAACAUUUUCUUUUGUUGGAAAUAUUAUGCAAUCCCAUUUCAAGCCCUCUUAGACAAAAUUCUAAGCUCGACGCGAUGAUAAAUGAAAGCUUUGGUUGCACCUACGUAUUCUGCCACACAUUUAAUAUGUGGAGUUUAAUCUAAAGGAAAAUACUUUCAUCAACUCCAUAAGGUGCAUCAUCUUAAUCUAUCUCAUGAGAUUAACCUAUUUUUACCACGAAUUUUAUAAUUAAAAAUUUUCAUUUUCUUGAUUAUUAUUUAAAAACCGUCUCUAAAAAAAAUAAGGCUAAAUUUUUUUAUUGAUCCCUGUGGUGAGACAUUACUUUUAAAUCGACCCAUGUGGUGAAAAAAGUGUUAAUCUUAACUCUAUGGUGAAGUUCGUUAUCAAUCGUAGUCCAAAUUGAAAUUUCUGUCAAAAUCUCAUCCACAUGCAGGGGUAAAAAGGUCAUUCCAUUCUUUUUCUUAUCUUUUCUUUUUGGUAAUUCCACUUUCUUAUAAUCAACAAAAAAAAGAACGAAAAAAGAAGAAGAAAUCCCUUCCCAAUCCCUACCCUUUGUUAGCCAUAGCCACAACGACCACCCACCACCUUCCCCCCUCUCUCUCACAUAACCCUAGCUAUCCCGUCCACCAAUAUUCUUCUUAAAAUGAAAUUAAAUUCAAUGUUUGCAUAAUAGCUUAUAUUCUAACCUAAUAUUUUUUAAAUCUUGAAUUUGGACUCUUGGCCCUCUUGAUAUGAGAAAGUAUGUUAAUAUGAACCUUGUAAUUUUAUUGUUUACUUUUUUUUAUUGUAGCUCUAAAAGUUAAAAAAAAAAAUUAUGUCCAUAUAGCGCUUUAUGAUUGGUUGAUGGAAUCAAUAAAAACGAAAAUAACAAUUUUGCCCCUACAAAUAACAUAAGAAUGAGGAAAAAUCCAAUUUGGACUAUGAUUGAUAACAAAUUUCACCACAAGAUUACAAUUAAUAGCUUUUUUCAUCACAUAGAUCUAUUUUAAAGGUAUCACCACAAGGAUCACGAAAAACAAUUGGUUAAAAAAUAAAAAAUAAAAACAGGGGAUUGUUUUUUUAUCAUUUAUAUGCAACAUUUUAAGAUUUCGAUUUAAUUAUUAUUUUUUUUGUAAAGAUAAUUAUUAUAUAAUGAUUAAAAAAUGAAUUAUUCUAAUCUUAAAAAUUAUAUAGUGACAAAUAUGUUAAUUGCAAGUAUAUUUCUCGGAUAUAAGUAAUUUUGAAAUCUAAAUAGUCGCAGAUCCAAUGGUAUUGAAAAGUUCAUGGCCACAAAGGCUAGUUUCUAAAACAAGAAGAAGUGUGAUUGCAAAAAUACUUGUUCAUGUGACAAGAAGUAGUAGUAGUUUAAAGUUUAUUAGAGCAGCUAAGAAGCUAGAUAUAGAGGAUGUACUUACGCACGGCGAGAUGAUAAAGACGGACCUGGAUUGUCUCUCCCUCAUUCCAUACCGUUAUAUUCCCUCAUAUUUCUGUGGUUACGGUUAAACCAUGUUAACAUUUUAUAUUUUCAUUGCUUUUUGUUUUAUUAUUUUUAUUAAAAAAUCAAUAUAAAAUGUUGACGUGGUUUAAUCGUGAUCACAAAAAUAGAAAGGGAUGGAAAAAGUAUGGGAUGGGAAGGGCAGACAAUCCAGAUCCGAUAAAGACAAAGGGGUGCUACUGCUCACAGUCACUGCAGUUCGGUUGCCAGCUGCUUGAAUCACGAAACUCUCAGUGUUGUACAAAGCCAUUUCUCUAUAUAUAAUUUCUGACAGGUUUACGAUGUUUACCAUGGGACAGGAAUGGAGGAGUUGGGUGAUUAGUUUGGAAAAUUUGGAGGAUUUGGAGGGCGUAAGUGGGAUGGUGACAUCCCGUGAAUUUACGGAUUUAUCCCAAGAUUGGGAGUAUAUAAAGUAAGCUGCUGAAAAGACAUCCCGUUUGGGAGUAUGUAAGUAAGUUGUUGAAAGACAUCCCGUGAAUUUACGGAUUUAUCGCAAGACGAUAUGUAAGUAAGUUGUUGAUAAGACAUCCCGCCUCGUCAGAAAGAUUGGGAGUAAUUUUUGAGAGCCCAUCUGACAGGGUUAUGAUUUAAUUAAGGGAGACUUUAGAUGUGGUUCUUAAUGAUGAAUAUUCUUUAAUUGAAAUCUUGUUGGUUUUUAAUUUUUUAUCCAAGUCCUUGACAUUAAUAUGAUAAUUCAUUUAUAUGUACGUUACUAUAUUUUUUUAAAUUAAAAAUUGAAAUUUAUAGUUGUUUAUAUUGAUGGAUUUUAAAUAAAAACCAUAAUUUGUGGGAUUAAAAAUAUUAAAAUAUAAAUAUACUGUUGUGUGUGUAUAUAUAUAUAAAUGGGUACAUUCAUCAAAAUUAACCAAAAAAUUAUUGUAUCAAAACAUGUGUACAUUCUUCAAAAUCACAAAAAAAAAAGAUAUUAGGCUUAAUAAAAUUAGUAAAUUUUUUCGAUUAAACUUAACAUGGAUACAUUCUCAAAUCAAAGAAAAAGAAUGUACCCAUAUAAUUAAGUUUAAAAAUGGAUUAGAAAAAAAAAUUGAAUCGAUUUUAUAUAAAAAAAUGGUACAUUUUACAUAUAAAAAAUUGGUAUAUUUAAGAAUGAGUACAUUUUAAGAUUUAAAUUUUGAAAAAAAAAUUACAUGAAUGGUACAUAUAAUUAGCAUGGGUACAUUUACCAAAAUUAAAAAUGGGUACAUAUAAAUAAAAAAAUAUGGGUACAAAUUAAAAUUGUAAAGAAAAUUGGUACAAAUUAAAAAAGGGUUGCAAAUUAAAAAUGAGUGCAAACUAAAAAUAAAAAUAUAUGAUAAAAAAUUUAGCCAUAAAUAUAAAUAUACUAAUUGUAACAUUUUUAACAUUAAAUAAAAAUAUUUAGAAAUAAAAAUAUUUUAUUAUUGAAAUAAUUAAUGAUGUUAUUAAUACCAAAGACCUUGAUUAAAAAUUGAAAAAAGAAUAAGGUUUUAAUCAAUGGAGUAGUAAAAGAAAGGAUGAGAACCUAAUUUCUUCUUUAAUUAAUCUAUCGCAUGAGAUUAACCUAUUUUUACCACGAAUUUUAUAAUUAAAAUUGUUCAUUUUCUUAAUUAUUAUUUAAAGACCAUCUCUAAAAAAAGCAAAAAAAACUGGGGAUUAGAGCAGAUAAGAAGAAAUGUGAUUGCAAAAAUACUUGUUCAUGUGACAAGAAGUAGUAGUAGUUUAAAGUAUAUUAGAGCAGAUAAGAAGCUGGAUAUAGAGGGAUGUACUUACGCACAGCUAGAUGAUAAAGAUGAAGGGGUGCUACUGCUCACAGUCACUGCUUGUCGGUUGCCAGCUGCUUGAAUCAUCAUACUCUCAGUGUUGUUCAAAGCCAUUUCUCCACAAAAAUAGAUUCAUGGUCAGAAGCAUGUAUAUAUAAUUUCUGACGGGUUUACGAUGUUUACCAUGGGACAGGAAUGCCAUGGAGGACUCGGGUCAGUGGGGCCCACUGUGUAUGAACGGAACCCAAACCUCCACCCACCAGUAGAUUAGGGUUACUAUUACUAAUGAACCCAGGCGUAGGGUUACUAUUACUAUGGAAGCAAUGUCGUGGUUGAAAUUACGCGUGAAAACCAAAAAGUUAAACCAAAUUUCAAAGUUCAAACAAACCACAAUAUCUGUGCACCCGGCGCUAAAAUUCAAGGUUAAGACGGGGCUUAAUGCAAUAUGAAGAAAUUACACAAAAUAUGGAGAUAAUUGAAGGAUCUUCUUUCAUAUUGGAAUGUAACAUUUUAAUAGAUAAAAGAUUAAUCGAGUUACACAAAAUAUGGAGAUAAUUGAAGGAUCUUCUUUCAUAUUGGAAUGUAACAUUUUAAUAGAUAAAAGAUUAAUUGAGUCACAAAAAAUGACAUUGAGAUCAUAAGCACCUAAUUUGCUUGUGAGUUAUUUUUAAACAAACGAUGUUAUCUACAUUAAAAGAAUUAAGAGAAUAGAAGAAUUGGCAACCUUACACUUGACUAACCAUAACAAUAUUAUUUAAAUUUACCUUUGAAGAUAAUCGAAUCUAAAAUUACCAUCAUAAAAUCGAGCAUGAUAACCAAAAAGUUGGCCCAAAUUUAAAAGUUCAAGCAAACCACAAUGUCUAAAGCAUCCGGAGCUAAAAUUCAAGGUUAAAGAGGGGGCGUAAGGCAAUAUGAAUAAAUUACACAAUGCAUCCCAAGGAUGAUUCUAGACAUUCAGUGGGGCCAAAUAUAACCGAUCAUCGGAUGCGUCCAAUAAAAAACCCUAUCAUCACUGGGAAUCCCAUCGUUGAAAUUAUGCAUGAAAACCACAAAAAGUUGAUCCAAAUUUCAAAGUUCAACUUCAAACAAACCAUAAUAUCCGUACCAUUGGGCGGAAUUCCUCCUUUUGGACCUUCUUUGUAACUUAAAGCCUCAUUUGUCAACGAGAAUCUCAGGCAUAACUGAGAAAAGGAAAUCAGGACAGGGAGUUAAAUUAAAUAUCCACUGACCUACGUAUUUUUUAGUGUCAAGUUGGUAUUAUUACUUGCCUAUAAAUGCAAAUGUAUUUUAAAUCUAUCUAAUGUCUUUAAUUUUAAUUUUUGUAUUUUAAGUGUUCAUUAAUGCCUUCAAUUGUCCUCUGUUUUACACCUCAGUGAUAACACAAAAGCUCCAUAGAAAACGUAUCGGAUUUUGAAUCAAAUUUCGACAGUGCCCCUAUCAUCUCUCCGAAAACCAAAGCAAUCCCAAACAAUUCCGAAAUCAUUUUUACGUGUCCCAAAAUAUGGUAUGUAUAUCUUCAUCUCAAAUUUAUUCGUAUCAAGUUGAUAGUUUUUCAUUGUUCGAAGUUCCACACUACUCAAUGUUUACUAAGACUUUUAUUUUUCUCUUUUACAUUUUGUUGAUGCACAAAACCGGAGGGGUCUUGGAACAACCUAAAUCCGACUGUGAAUAUGCAAGAAAGUAAAUAACACAAGAUGUAUCGUGGUUCACCUCAAGGUUUGGGCUAUGUCCACACUGAUAUUGUAUUUCUGAGAGAGAGAGCUCUGAAUAUGAGAGUGAGAGCUUUGAGAGAGCUUUGAGAGAGCUUAGAGCUUAGGGGAUGUGAGGAGGCUUAUGAAUUGGCCUCUCCUAAUUGUGAGGGUGAGGAGUCCUUUUAUAAAAUAAGGGUCAUCACUUAUUACAUAUUUGCCCAUUCAUUUAUUACAUAAUUACCUUUAAGUUAUUCGAGUAUUUGUACUAAAUCUAAAUACGGAGACCCUAAGUAUGGUAUAAACACAUUUAUAUAAGUGAUGUUGCAGCAAAGGAAAUAUCAGACACAACUCUUACAUUUAUAUAAGUGAUGUUGCAGCAAAGGAAAUUCCACCAACCAUGACUUGACACUAACACAGAUUAACUAGGUCCAUUAUCCACAUCAACUUUUAUAUUAUAUUUGUAUCUUUUACUCAAUUUUAGAAUUAAAUAUUACUUCUCUCUUUUUCUGCUCCUAAUUUGUAUCUCAAUUUUUUUUUACUGUCAUCACAGAUUAACCAUGUUAACUACUCUAUGUUGUAGAUACUACAUAUACGUAUAUUACAAAAGUAGAUGAGGGCCUCAAUUGGUAAAGAAAACUGAUACUACAUAUACAUAUAUUACAAAAGUAGAUGAAAGUAGAUGAGGGCCUCAAUUGGUAAAGAAAACUGAUACUACAUGUACAUAUAUUACAAAAGUUGAUGAGGGCCUCAAUUGGUAAAGAAAACUGAAAUUUGACACGAAAUGAGAAAGAAAAGUCUGAUGAGAUAAUACAGGGAAAGUAUUUUGUCUUCCAUGUUGGUUUCACGAACAUUUCCUAUUUAUUAUUUUUAUUUUUAUUAAGAAGUGGGUCCCUACGUGGACAAUUUUCGAAGGUAGUUUACUUAGAGCAAGUCCACCGGAGUGGACUUUGCCCAGGACCCAGCACAAAAACAAGGUCAGCACCCUGUCAACCAAGUCCACCCCCUCAACUUGACUGGUACCCAACCCGAGCUGGGCUCUGGACCAGCCCAAAAGAGACUGAGCAAGAAGUCGGGUUGUUGGCCUGGCGCGUGUACGACAAGCGCGCCUGGGCUGUCAGCCCACUUAUGCUUUGGAUCCCAUCAGCGACGUGGCAUGCUUAUAUCCGUUGGAUUUCCAACGGCUAGUUUUCUAGACCGUUGGAUUUCCAACGGUAAAAAAAAUUUAAAUUUUACUUUUAAAAUAUACCGUCCGAUCACAGAUCAACGGUCCACGUUAAUUAACUAAAUUAAAUUUUAUUAAAAAAUACAGAAAAAUAUUAAAAAAUACAGAAAAUUUAAAAAAAAAAUUAUUUAUUUUUUCUAUAAAUACCUAACUCUCAUCUUCCACCUUACACCACAUUUCAAUAUUUUCUACACUUUCUACCAAAACUUUCAUAUACUUUUUGUGUGAAAAAAAAAUACCAAAAAGCUUGUGGUUGAAGAAUAAAGUGUAUUUGAUGAGUUUAUGUAAUUUCAUUUUAGUGUGUUUUUUUUUUAUAGUUUAUUUGAUGAGUAUGUAAUUUUAUUUUAGUGUGUAUUUUUUUAAAAGUUUAUUUGAAAUUUUAUCUGAAAUUGGUUAAAAAUCUUAUCUGAAAUAAACUUAAAAAAAAAAACACACCAAAUAAAUGCGCUGGGUGCCAGCGCAUUUUUUUAGGGGUGGAGAUGCCUUGGCCUAUUACUGUUCACUCCAGUCUAUUACUGUUCACUUGAGUGGAUAAAUGCGCUGGGUGCUGGCGCAAAGUCCUUAGGGGUGGACUUGCUCUUAUCUUCUCCUAGACUGCUGCGGAUGUUAUUUCAACAUCUCCUGCACUUGCACUUGCACCAUUCGGCUGAUCGGAUCCCAUAACCAACUCUUUCAAUUUGUCAAACAUUCCGGACGCAGUAACUUCUGCACUCGCACCAAUAUUCAUGAAGAACUCUUUCAGUUUGUCAAACAUUCCGGAUGCAACAACUCCUGCACUUGCACCAAUAUUCAUGAACAAAUCUUUCAGUUUGUCAAACACCUGAAGAAGCUGUUCACGUGCUCUCUGAUACAAACUUUUCUAAACAUCUGCAAUUUCAUGGUAGGACUUUGUUACUGCAAUCACAAUGCAAAUGCUCCAUGCUGCCAUGGCGAACCACCCCAAAGCUGGAACGAUGAUCAACAAUUCUAAGGUUAUGGCGAGUGUCCAGACCAGAGGCUAAUCUUAUCCAUGAACUCCGACAAAUCUGGAUUUUCACGAGCUGGGAACAUCUUGACUGCCAGUGCCCAUGAACUGAUGUAAACCACAAUAGCAACAAUCAAAGCCACUAACAUGUCGUAUUCCGUGGACAACAGAUAUUCUGCAGCUCCAGCUCCGUACCUAAGCUGGAUAAACCCGGCUAGCGUGGGGACGGCAAAGAUAAUACGCUUGUGCAAUGCCCUUGAAGAACUUUGACGAUCAUGUUCCCCGGCCUCGCUUGUGCUAUAUUAUAAAUAUAUGGUUAGAAAAUUAUAUUGGGUUAUAAGCAUUUUCCAUCUAGGUAUAUAGUGAUAAACAUUUUAGACGUAUCAUGGUUCACCACAAGCAUCAUCAAUAUGGUCCAAAUUUAAGCACCUAUUACUAGGUUUUGAAUUUUAUCAUAAAAUGCUUCGGUGAUUUAGAAUUGAAAUCUCCCAUAUUUUCAAUGUGAGAUUCUAACAUAUAAUUUUUCUGACCACAUGAUGUACGAUAAAUGAAUAUGAUUGCUUGAUCUCCAAGAUCCCCACAAAGAGGAUCCAGGGAUCCUUUUCCAUUUACAAUGUGUUAAUAUUGUACAUCUAAAUAACAUUGAUUGAACAAAUCAAAUACUCAGUUGGGAACUUUCUACUUAUUUUUUGCGAAAGAAAAGAAAAUUGUACUUAAUCUUUAUAGUUCAACAUUUUCUUUGUUGGAAAUAUAAUGUAAUCCCAUUUCAAGCCCUCUUAGACAAAAUUCUAAGCUCAACGCGGUGAUAAAUGAAAGCUCUGGUUGCACCUACGUACUCUGCCACACAUUUAAUAUGUGAAGUUUAAUCUAAAGGAAAAUACUUUCAUCAACGCCAUAAGGUGCAUCAUCUUAUCCCAUCCCAUGAGAUUAACCUAUUUUUACCACGAAUUUUAUAAUUAAAAUUGUUCAUUUUCUUGAUUAUUAUUUAAAAACCGUCUCUAAAAAAAUUAAGGCUAAAUUUUUUUCUUGAUCCCUGUAGUGAGACACUACUUUUAAAUCGACCACUGUGGUGAAAAAAGUGUUAAUCUUAACUUUAUGGUGAAGUUUGUUAUCAAUCGUAGUCCAAAUUGAAAUUUAUGUCAAAAUCUCAUCCACAUGUAGGGGUAAAAAGGUCAUUCCAUUCUUUUUUUCUUUUCUUUUCUUUUUGGUAAUCCCACUUUUUUAUAAUCAACAAAAAAAGAGGGAAAAAAAGAAGAAGAAAUCCCUUCCCAACCCCCUGCCCUUUGUCAGGCACAGCCACAACGACCACCCACCACCUUCCCCCCUCUCUCUCACAUAACCCUAGCUAUCCCGUCCACCACCGUUAUCCUUAAAAUGAAACUAAAUACAAUGUUUGCAUAAUAACUUAUAUUCUAACCUAAUAUUUUUUUUAAAUCUUGAAUUUGGACUCUUAGCCCUCUUGAUACGAGAAAGUCUGAUAAUAUGAACCUUGUAAUUUUAUUGUUUAUUUAUUUUUUAUUGUAGCUCUAAAAAAAAAAAAAUUUAUGUCCAUAUGGCGCUUUAUGAUUGGUUGAUGGAAUCAAUAAAAACGAAAAUAACAAUUUUGCCCCUACAAAUAACAGAAGAAUGAGGAAAAAUUCAAUUUGGACUAUGAUUGAUAACGAAUUUCAUGGGAUUACAAUUAAUAGCUUUUUCAUGACAAGGGUCUAUUUAAAAGUAGGGUAUCACCACAAGUAUCACGAAAAAAAAUUGGCCAAAAAAUAAAAACAGGGGAUUUUUUAUUUAUCAUUUAUAUGCAUCAUUUUAAGAUUUCGAUUUAAUUAAAUUUUUUUUGUAAAGAUAAUUAUUAUAUAAUGAUUAAAAAAUGAAUUAUUCUAAUCUUAAAAUUUAUAUGGUGAUAAAUAUGUUAAUUGCAAGUAUAUUUCUGAUAGAGCGGAUAUAAGUAGUUUUGAAAAGUUCGUGGCCACAAGGGCUACCUUCUAAAACAACAUGAAGAAGUGUGAUUGAAAAAAUACUUGUUCACGUGACAAGUAGUAGUAGUAGUUUAAAGUAUAUUAGAGCAGAUAAGAAGCUGGAUAUAGAGGAUGUACUUACGCAUGGCGAGAUGAUAAAGAUGAAGGGGUGCUACUGCUCACAGUCACAGCAGGUCGGUUGCCAGCUUCUUGAACCAUCAUACUCUCAGUGUUGUACAAAGCCAUUUCUCCACAAAAAUAGACUCAGGUCAGAAGCAUGUUAUAUAAUUUCUAACGGGUUUACGAUGUUUACCAGGGGACAGGAAUGCCAUGGAGGAGUUGGUCAGUGGGGCCCACUGUGUGAACAAAGCCCGAAGUACGGUAGGGUAGGGUCAAUGUACUAAGUAAUGAAGCAACAAACAAUUAGCACAGUGCAACCCUGGAGAUAAUUGAAAUCGUAUUGGAAUGCAACAUUUUAGUUAAAAAAAGAUUAAUUGAGUCACAAAAAAUGACAUUGAGAUCAUAAGCAUCAAAUUUGCUUGUAAUUUAUUUUUUAAACAAACGGUGUUAUUUACACUAAGAGAAUAGAAGAUUGAGCAACCUCACACUUAGCUAACCAUAACAAUGUUAUUGAAAUUUAUCUUUGACAAAAUCGAACAUAAAAUUAUUACAUUAAGUUAUCAUCAUGGAACCGAGCAUGAUAACCAAAAAGUUGGCCCAAAUUUCAAAGUUCAAGCAAACCAGAGUAUCUAUGCAUACGGAUCUAAAAUUCAAGGUUAGGAGGGGGGCUUAAUGCAUUAUGAAGAAAUUACACAAAAGCAACCCACAAUGAGACAUUCAGUGGGGCCAAAACGAACCCGAUCGCUCAAGUGGUGCCAAAAGCCAUUGACUUUGAGAGCGAUCACUUUGGAUGGUCAAAUACUCCAAAGAAACAAAAAAGUUAAAACACUCAUCACCACUGGAUUCCGAUCAGCGAAAUUAUGCAUGAAAACCAUAAAGUUGAUCCAAAUUUCGGAGUUCAAGCAAAUCAGGCCUUUUGGACCUUCUUUAUCACUGAGAAUUUCAGGCCUUCUUUAUAACUGAGAAAAGGAAAUCAGGAAAGGGAGUUAAAUUAAAUAUACAAUGACCUACUAUUUUUUUAGUGUCAAAGUUGGUAUUAUUACUUACGUAUAAAUACAAGUGUAUUUUACAUCUAUCUAAUGUCUUUAAUUUUAAUCUCUGCAUUUUAAAUGUUCACUAAUGCCUUCAAUUGUCCUCUGUUUUACACCUCAGUGAUGACACAAAAACUCUAUAGAAAACGUAUCAGAUUUUGACUCAAAUUUCGAGGUGCCCCUAUCAUCUCUUUGAAAACCAAAGCAAUCCCAAACAAUUCCGAAAUCAUUUUUAUGUGUCCCAAAAUACGGUAUGUAUAUCUUUAUCUCAAAUUUAUUAUUGUUUGAAGUUCCACACUACUCAAUGUUUACUAAGACUUUCAUUUGUAUAAGUGAUGUUGCAGCAAAGGAAAUAUCAGACACAACUCUUACUCCAAAGGCUCCAACUAGGUCAAGUAUUUUUGUACGUAAAUAACCAGAUCUGAGUAUUUUUGUGUGUAAAUAGUGCUAUACACAAAAUUUCCAUAUGGGUUUCAAUCCCUUAGGAGGACACUUUUCUGUUCUCUCUUGGGUAUAUUGACGUGUUCAUGAGUGCAAAACUCGUGGCCAACCGCUUACAUUACUUUAGUUUAAAGUAGAAAGGGAAAAGGCAAUGUAGCUUCCAUCAAUUCUUUGCCACUCGUUUUCACUCUAUUUACAACAAUACCAGCCAAAUGGUUGGGUUGGGAGGGUAAUUCUCAAAAAUUCAGAGGGUAGUUUUGUACGUAUGGCUCAAUUUCAUGCUAUAAAAAAAUAAUAACGAGUAGGCCACGCCCAUAUAUGCAUAUCCAAAUCUUAGAUGUCUUAGGUAUUUCUCCCCAAUUCCUUCCUUUUCAAGAGUUUUUUUCCUUUUUUGGACAACAGGCAUUAAAUUUAGGAGGGAUUACAGGCAUUACCCCAUCGUGGGUCCCCCAACGCAUUUUCUGAGCAGAAGUGAACAAAAUAGAGCACAAGGGGUGCAGCUAUCAUAUUUGAAUACAUUUACAAACGUGUUCCCUUUUAAUCACUAAUACAAUACCCCAUCGUGGGUCCCCCCCAACGCAUUCUCUUACAAAAAUACCAGCUAAAAGGGUAAUUCUCAAAAUUCAAAGGGUAAUUUUGUCCGUUUAAUUUGGCACGGAUUGCUGGGUUAUACGCGUGCAUCUCUCACUCUUCCUGUUUUGUCCUUGUCAACCCUAGCAGCCACAACACCAUCUCUGGAAUAUCAUCGGCUUCUGCUUCCUAAAACCAAACCCACUGUUUCUGUCCUUGUCAACCCCAGCAGCCACAACACCAUAUUUGGAAUAGCAUCGGCUCUUGUUUCCUAAAACCAAACCCACAAACACUGGCCUCCAUUUUUGUAACUCGAGAGUUUCGGUGAGACGAUAAUCUUUCAUCUUCAUCUUCUUCCCCCAACCCCCUACCUGCAACCUGGGGAAAAGAAAAA